This 85150-nucleotide long non-coding RNA is filed under the name Lupinus angustifolius (narrow-leaved blue lupine). Its description in RNAcentral is "long non-coding RNA (LANG_LNC001943)". Lineage: Eukaryota; Viridiplantae; Streptophyta; Magnoliopsida; Fabales; Fabaceae. The record is from RNAcentral.
UUAUAAAACGUCAAUGAACCGAACAUAAAUAGUUCAUUAAAAACAUAACCAAACCAAAUCACGAAACUGAACUGAAUCAUAUUUUAUGGUUUGGUAGACGGUAGCCGAUUUGAUAAUCUCCAAGUUUUGAAAUGGAUUAGUGUUUGACGAGUAUAUUCUUGAUAUACACCAUAAAAAAGAAAGCAUGUAUUGGGUCAAUCUAUUCAUGUUAUUUUAAUAUGUAAUGAUUUACAAAAAAACAUGGUCGAAAGAAAAACAUCUUUAUCUUUGUAACUAUCACUUUAUUACAAAUAAUUUUCCAAACAUGAGCAUUAUAUGUAUAUAAGAUCACAAAUAGAGAAAGAAGCAAAGCACUUUCUAGGUCUAUUCGACCCUUUAUUACUUUGGCAUCUCUUUUUCCCAUCUUUCUCUCUCUCCCUCUCUCCACAACAGUAACUCAACAAUCAAAACCAUCAGAUUCAAAGGAAAUUUACCUGUCUAUCAACAAAAACCUCAUUGAUCAGUCAAUCCCAUCAAUCAAAUCAAAUCAAGAAAGGGAAUCAACAAAAAGAGAAAACAACAUGUCUGCCUCAUCCACUUCCUUUUCACCGGACCAACAACAACAACAACAGCAACUCUCUCCCUCCGACCAACUCUGUUAUGUUCAUUGCAACUUCUGUGACACUGUCCUCGCUGUAUCAUCACUACAACCUCUUAUUAUUUAUCUUAUCAUCAUGUCCUUCACUCUCUAUUAUUGUUACUAUAACCUUUAACCCUCUUAAGUUUUUUUCUUUAAUUUCCAUUUAGGUGAGUGUUCCUUGCACCAGUUUGUUCAAGACUGUGACUGUGAGAUGUGGCCAUUGCACUAACCUUCUUUCUGUGAACAUGCGUGGACUGCUUCUUCCUCCUACUAAUCAGCUUCAUGUUGGUCACAACUUCUUCACUCCUCAAAAUCUUAUGGUACAUAUAUAUAUGCACCGAAAUGUUUCAUGGAGAACUUUGAGACAAUUUAUAAAUAUUGGUACUUUGGGUUAUAGAAUUCAAAGUUGUUGUAACAAGCUAGGGCCUAGGGUUUUUAAUUUUUAUUCACCUAAGAAAAGUUAGGGCCUAGGGCUAUAUAGUUUUGAUUGUUAGUAUUGUUAUGAUUCAGGAGGAGAUUCGAAAUGCACCUUCAACAAAUAUGAUGAUGAAUCAGAUGCCUAACCAAAAUGAUUUGGUCAUGAACACCAUGCGAGGAGGACCAGAAGAAAUUCCUAAGCCUCCACCACCUAACAGACGUGAGCAUUUUCCUCUUAUUCCUUAACUUCUUAUCUUCACUUGUUCAUUAAACUUAAAUUGUUUUCUUGAUGAAUUUUUGUUUUUCUUACAAGUAACAAUGAUCUCAAAAUCUUCACAUGUUCUCCAUGUUUGUUUUCUUUUUUUUUCUUUACUUUCCUUUUUCUACUUGUGGACCAGAGAUUCUUCCGAUACCACAAAAAAAAAGCUAGAAAAAGAAAAAGAAUCUCAAUUCACUCAAAAAAAGAAUAGGGAACUCUUCUGAAAUCCUUGCAGCCCAUUUGGCACAAGUUUUAAGCUAAUAGUGGUACCACUUAAGCAAUAAAGGAAGAAAAUUGGUGAAAAAAAGCUGUAUUCAUAUCAAAACUCACUUGUCAUGUUGAACAGUGGCUAAGAUUUCUUGGUUUACUGCAAGUGGCAAACAAAGAACAAUCUUUUGCACAUUUAUCUCAUGCAUUGCUUUUUCUCUGUCUUUCCUGUGCUAAUGUUUAUAACUUCAAUAAAGCCACCUUUAGUUCUUCAAAUAUAUUGCUACAACAAUUACACUUUCAAAACUUUUAGGUUGAAGCAACCCAUUUCCAUGCUUUAUGGUUUUCCCACUUUCCACAACCAAGUUUCAAGAGGAUGAAAAUGAAAUUCAUAAUUUGUUUUUUUCUUCUCUUUGCCUCUCCAUCUAUGUCUCCUUACAUGCAUACAAUGAGGGUUACAUAAUUUGUCCCCCGAAAAUAUAGUGCUGAAUCCAUUGCGAGAGUGAUUGUUAGAGAUAAUGAUGAGCCAAUGAUAGAAAAUAGAGAGAGAAUGUAUGUGUGUAAGAAUGGAAAAAAAUCUUCUCUUGAAUCGAAGAUGUAAGUUGUUAUUUGUACACUUACAUUGAAGGAUAAAAGUGUCACACUAUUAUAUCUGAAGAAUAAAAAGAUCAUAUCCUUCUGUUUUUUCAUGUUAUUUAUGAUGCACAUGCCUAUCUAAUACUAGAGAAGAUCUUAACUCGUAAAAUCGGUAAAAGGUCAGCAAAGUGAUUUAAUGUUCCUGUCUUUUGCCUGUGUAAUGUCCAUGUGUUACAUGUCCAGCUCCAGAGAAGAGACAGAGAGUUCCAUCAGCUUACAACCGCUUCAUCAAGUAAGUUUAAUAACUUUAAUUUCAACUUGUUUAUUUUGAAUACUAAGUAGUAAGUAGUGAGUUUUACGAACACUUUCCAAAUGCACAUUUAAUAGAUAAUUUUGCAUCUCAGAAUCCAUUUGGGUCAAAGUUCUGAAUCACCUAAUAAAUUCUCAACUCAAACCUUAUCAUUUCUAUUUGUAUAUUUAAAUUUUUACUUAUAUAUUAUUUGAUUCCACAUUUUUAUUUUGAUAGCAUUUGGAUGACAUUGACAUCAUUGAAAUUCCAGGGAUGAGAUCCAACGUAUAAAAGCUGGAAAUCCUGAUAUAAGCCACAGAGAGGCCUUUAGUGCAGCUGCAAAGAAUGUGAGAUCCAAGGAUAUUCUAAAUCUUACUCUCUUAAGGAAUUUUUCCCAUUUUUAGAUUAUUUUCAAUUUUUACUAAUUAAAGAAUUUUCUUUUUGUUUAGAGAAAAAGAUUAUGCACAACAGUAUAAAAAUAUAUUUUACAUUGUCGCUGCAUCAUCCACCACUAAUUUAUAAUUAUCAUUGACUUUUAAAUAAAAUUAAUACAAGGUAAAUAAUAUAUUAACUAUAUAAAUUUUUACAAUGUCAUUACAAAAAUAUUACUGAUCUCUUUUGUUUAAUCAAUCAUAUGUCUAAACUCCUUGUGUUGCCCUGUUUGUUUUGUUCAUUAAGGAAUAAAAAUUAGUUAUCCAAAUCUCUCUAAUUAUGUCACAUCCAAUAACAUAUUGCUACAGAGAAAUCUUUGCAAUGUGUAUUGUUUUACUCGCUUAAGGUUGUUAAAUGUAAACUUAAAUUUUAAAUAAUAUGUCAUAAUAUUAUAGGGCGAGACAUAUACUAAUUAACUUACACAAUUGAUUUUCAUUGAUAAUUAAGACUUUUUAUUUUUGAGUUAGACUCUUGGUCAUUAUUGGAGAGAACAAUUAUAUUUUUUAGUGUAUUUUAAGAGUAAAAUUAUAAUAUCAAUAUAAGUUAAAAGGAUAAAAAUGUUAUUGUUUUUUUUUAUAUUUCUAUGUAUUUCACUUAACUGUCCUCUUAAGUAAUGAAAAGAGUAUGACUCUUUAUUUCUCAUUUGUGGGGUCCAUAAUUUAUUUUUCAGUGGGCUCAUUUCCCACACAUUCAUUUCGGACUUAUGCCUGAUCAUCAACCCGUGAAGAAAGCUAAUAUUCGCCAGGUAAAUGAAAACCCUAGCUUCUGUUACCUCCUUUUACUUUUGGCAGCACAUUAAUGAAAAAAGUGACUCUUAUUUCUAUGGUUUCUAAUCUCAAUUUUGUGCGUGUAGGAAGCAGAAGACGUGCUUAUGAAAGAUGGGUUUUUCUCACCAGCAAAUGUAGGUGUUACCCCCUACUAAAAUAGUUUAUGGUUUAGGGCUUCGAGUGUCACUCUUAUCUAAGUAACUAUUGUACUAUGAUUUUGUCUUAUGCAUAUUAAUGUUGUGCACUUGUGAUAGUACUUGUUAGUGUUAAAAGUUGUUAGACUAUAUUACCCGUAAUGAAUGACUUUGCAAUGUAGAAAUAAAGGUCUUAGAAGCUAUUUUUUUGAUUGGUUUUCUACCUCACCUGAGAAAAAGUUGUUCUAGAAUACUAUUUUCAACCCUUCACAAAAAUAAAAUUCAUAAUUACUAAAAAACUAAAAAUAAAUGCGUUUUGUGUUUGUAAGGAUUUAUUGCUUCUAAAACACGGUUAGUUUUUUUUAAUCCUUAUAAUUAACAUUUUCAAACCUAUUAGUUAAAUAUUAAUCUGACAUGACUUUAGUAAUAGUUUAUGUGAAGAAAAAAUGAUAGAAAAUUUAGGUUUGAGUUGUGCCUUGCAACCCCCGUUGUAAUGGUCUAUAUUUUUGUACAAGAUCAUGGUGGGAUCGUGAUUUAUCUAUGGUUCAUGCUAAAAUUUAUUUUCGCCUAAGGUAGAAUCUCCAAAGAAACUUCCAAACUUUCCUUUUGUUGAUGUACAAGACUCAUAUAAUACAAUUUAAUUUACACUCUAAGUUGUAUAUGAAUUCGAGUAACCUUAUAUUAUUCAUAAUAGUUUUUCAUUGGUAAUAAAAGAAGAACGAAGAACAAAGGAUGGAUUAAAGAGGAAGGGAGCAUUUGUUAGGGAAUUAACAUUUCUGAAAGACCUAGGUUCCACCCACAAUACUUGCCUUUUCAUUUGUAGGUGAAAAGGAAGAAGAAUGUUGGGUUAUUUGGCAUGCAACCUGUUUUUUUUAUCAAUAAUAUGUUAAUAUUUAUUAUGAGUGAAACUCGAAUAUUCAAUUUUUUUAAUUGGGUUAUAAGAUUUGCUGAAAUUAGGUCUUGUAAUUGGAUUAUGGCUUGUUUGACAGUAUGAUAGGAAAAGACUUGAUUUGAUAAGACCUUAUAGGUAAAGACAAUAAGUUAAGACCUAAUAGGAUAAGGUCCGACAAAAUUUUAAUAAUAUAUGUAAUGUUAGAUGUAGUAUUGUUUAUGAUAUUGUAUAAAUAAUCGUGUAAUAUAGAACACUAGAUAGGUUAACAGCUAACGAUUUACAAUAAUAACCUUCUUCCUAAAGAUAUUAACAUCUCAUUCAAAUUUUGGAUGAACUAAUAAGUUUUCUCAUAAUUUUCAACAUUAGAUAAGCCAAGGCUUUAAACACAUCAAGAGAGGAGUGAAUAAGUAUGAUGCUAUUAUGCUGUUUCAUUUCACACAUAACUAUUUUUUCUCAGUUAAUAGAUUAUAAACAAUUAUUUUCAAUUUAAUUGGUUGAUAAUCAAUUACAUAGAGUGUUUAAUUGAUUAUGCUUCUGAUAAUUGAUUGAAAAUUGGUUAUUGACCAAUUAUCAACCCAAAAAUGAAAAUCAAUGGAGUUGAGUGAAAUAAAUAAACCAAGAUCUUUACCAAGAUGAGGCCUUUAAUCAAAAUAGUGACAAAUAACGAAAUACUAGAAAAUAAUAAGCACAAACACAAUAAAUCAAAACUUUAAAGAAUAUAGGGUUAUAAAGAAAUAAUAAGCAAAAUUUAUAAUCAUUCACAUCAAUCCACCGACGCUAAAUCCAGUCCCCAUUUCUGGUUUGAGGAUUUUCACCCACUAUGAAAAGAGACAAUGUUUAUUUACAAGCACAAGUUCAAAUUCAAAUUCAAUCCUAAUCCAUCUUAUUAGACCUCUACAACAUAUCAACUUACACUAGUUUAUAUGCAUAUAUAAAAUUUCAUAAAAAUACUAAUGCUAAAAUCUAGAACUUCAUGUUUUUUCAUAAAGAUAAGUAAGAGGAAGUGUACCGUUCUAAUAGAUGUGAUUUGAGGAGGAAGUCUUAUUUGUAGAUGAGUAUUGUCUACAUGUGUUGUUGAUAUCUUCAUAUCCAUAGAAUGUUGGUUUCUCCCUCUUGACCCAUUUCAUAAUAGUACAUUAGUGAUGAAUAUAAUGUACUUCUUGGUAGGAUAGAGUGAGGACCACAUUCUUAAUUUAUAGGGCAUGAUAGGUGCAUUCAUCAUACACCUUCCUUCAUGAAAUUGGCUUUCCAAAUUGUGAAGAAGAUCUUGCUCCUGACCUUGACAUAGUUUUGACGAAGACACCAACAUCACAUAAAGAAGAAAAUGAAGAAUACUUAUGAAAAAAAUAAGGAUAAAGCUUCAAGGAAUUUAGAGUCUAAGUCUAUAGGUACUUCUAUCCUUAUACUCUAUAAUAUACAAUUGUAGUAAUACUCAAAAAUAUUUUAAAAUAAAAUUUAAAAUUACAAGUAUAAAUGAAAACAAUUUUUAAAAUAUUGUGUAACAGGUUACUGGAUCUAAGUAACAGGUUACUAGAACUAAGUAACAAGUUACAUCAAUGAGUACGAGUUACCCAACAAAAACUGAACAGGAUAAUCAAUUACUCCUUUUGAGUAACCGAUUACACGAUUAAUAUAUAUGAGAGUAACUGAUUACAUAGUGUGGUAAUCGAUUACUCAGUUGGACAAAAUGUUUAGGUAAUCGAUUACGUCGAUGUUGUAAUCGAUUACUGAGAGAUGUUAGACAAUAUUUUCAGAUUCAAACUGAACAGCUUUCACCCCAAACAUAAUGGUUUCAUUCCAAUCGACUCCUACCUUUUCAUAGAGGUGUUAUGGCUGAUUGGAAAAUCUAUUUAAAGGAAUUGAAACUCAUAAUUUCAAACACACAACUCACAUACACAAUCUGAAUUUUCUAAAAUACUUUUUCUGCACCUUCUACAACUUAUUCUUCACUUUCAAAUUAAAUUUUUUGAAGUUGCUUUAAGUGUGGUUUCAAAGAUUUUUCAAACCUUCUGAGCAUUAUAACUAAGUUUAUAAAGAGUUACCGAAUUGCAAGAGAUCAUAGUGUUCAAAUCUUGUAAAUGCAAUCCUUGCUAUUGUUAACGUUUUCUUCAUUCAAUUUGCUGAAAUACAUUCUAUCACAAGGGUGUGAUAAGAAACGGGAUAGAGUCACUUGGAAAGGUUAUUUUCCAAAGAGUGACAUAGGUAUUAGAGAGUGAGUAAGGUACAAGGAUAUCUCAGGGUGAGAAUUUAUAAUUAUUACUCUUAAUAUCUAGUGAAGAAAUCUCUUGUGAUGCAAGAGUACUGGAUGUAACCUUCGAUGGAAAAGAAGGUGAACCAGUAUAAAACUCUCUAAGUACUCUCUUCUCCCUUAUCUCCUUAAAUUAACUUGAUAUUUUUCUGCAUAAGUUUUCCGCUGCUACUAACAAUAAAAUUUGCAAAAAAAUCUAUCAUAGAUUUAAGACAACUAAUUCACCCCCAAGUUACCAUCUCAGUCUUAUAAUUGGCACCAGAGCUUAUUCUGAGUAAAUUAUUCUCAAAUCAGAUCCUGUAUCUAAGAUGGACUCAAGAUCAUUUAGGGAGAAGGUUCCAACAUCAAUCACCCUCCAAAUUUUGUUGGUGAAUUCUAUGACUUCUGAAAAAUUAGGAUGAUAAUCUUUAUAGAAUCUCAAGGUCUGGAUAUUUGGAAUGCGAUUGAGGAAAGACCUUAUUAACCUUUCACUGUUGUUAAUGGUGUAAGGGAAGUAAAGCCAAAAUCCUCAUGGAAUGAUGAGGACAAAAAGACAAUGCAAUACAAUCUCAAAGCAAAGAACAUCCACACUUCAGCAAUUGGUAUUGAUGAAUUCUUUAGAGUAUUAAACUGCAAAUCCGCUAAAGAAAUGUGAGAUGCUCUAGAGACUACACACGAAUGAACUGAGGAAGUGAAAAAGGUCGAUACUCAAUACUCUCUCCUAGGAAUACGAAAUGUUCCAUAUGAAGUCUGAAGAGAAAAUACUAGAUCUCCAAAAGAGAUUUACUCACCUUACAAGUCAUCUUAUUGAACUUGGAAAAAUAUUAUCAAAUAGUGACUUGAACUUAAAAGUUUUGAGAUCACUCACCAGAACAUGACAACCAAAAGUAACAGCCAUUUAUGAAAAGAAAAGCUUAUAAAAAAUGUCAUUGACUACUUUAUUUGGUAAAUUACAGGAACGCGAAUUGGAAAUCAGCCAACUUGACCAACAUGAAGAGCAAGAAAAGAAGAAGAAAAAUAUCUCUCUCAAAGAAAAGGCAGAUAGAUAUGAUUCAUCAGGAGAUGAAUCAGAAAAGGAAGAGAUGGAAGACAUAAGUCUUUUGCUAAAGAAGUUCAGCAAGUUCCUUAAAAGGAAUAAAUGCGCUAAAAUUGGACAAAUGAAGAAAUUCACCAAGAAUAAUGACGCCCCCACUUCAAAUUGAAACUUCACAUGUUUUGAAUAUGGUAAGCCUGGUCACAUGAAGAUGGAAUGUCCAAAUCUGAAAAAGAAUUCCUUCAAAGGGAGAAAUGAAAUGAGGACUAGACGAAGAGCCUACAUAGCUUGGGAAGGCAAUGAUACUAGUUCUGCCUCAGAACCAGAAAAUGAAGAACAAACUCAUCUCUCACUAAUGGCAUCUCAUCACUAUGAUGAUGAAGAUGUAAAUGAAACUGAACUAUUUUCUUUUUCUGAAUUACAACUUGCAUUUACCGACUUACAUGAUGAAUAUGUCAAACUCACUAAAUUGUUAUUAAAACAAAAAACUAAGUUAGAAAUAUUCAAAAAUAAACCAUCAUCUUCUUCAUGUCAAAACUGCAUUACUCUUGAAAAGGAAGUUUCAACAUUAAGUCUUGAACUUAAUAAAUUAAAUAAGAGUAGCAAAAAUCUGGACACAAUGAUUAAAGAUGAGAGACAUUCUACAUACUGAAGAGGUCUUGGCUAUUCUAACAGCCAAGUUUCUAAGAAAACAAAUGUCUCAAUGAAAAUAAACUUUCAUAAACAAAGUAUCCAUGCAUUUAAUUGUAGUAAUAUUAAAACUAGAAUACAUAAGCAUAAUCCCAUAUGCAAUUAUUGUAAGAACCAUGGACAUAUACCAAAUACUUGCAUGAUUAGAAAAUAUGGUGUACCCUUAGGUCACUAUAGAUGGAUUGAGAAAUGUGCUAACCAUGUAGGACCCAAGGAAAAUUGGGUACCUAAUACUACUUAACCUGUUUUGAAGGAUAAUUUGAGAGUCGUCUAUAAUCUAUGGUACUUGGUACUCAAACUAAUGUUGGAUUAUGGUAUCCAAAAGGAAGUAUAUAUGAUUUGAUAGGAUAUUCAUAUUUAGAUUUUGAUGGAUGCAAAAUUGAGAGAAAAAGUACAAGUGGUACUUGUCAUAUAUUAAGAAAUAUAGUGGUCUCAUGGUCAUGCAAGAAACAAGCCUGUGUUGUCAUAAGUACUACUGAAGUAGAAUACAUAGCGGCAGGUAGUUGUUGUGCCCAAGUGUUGUGGCUUAAACAACAAUUACAAGAUCACGACUUAGACUUAGGCUACAUUCCCCUAAAAAAUGUGACAAUACUAGUGCUAUAAAUCUCACAAAGAAUCUAGUAAUGCAUUCUAGAACCAAACACAUAGAUAUAAGACAUCACUUCCUUAGGGACCAUGUCCAAAAGAAAUACGUGACUUUAGAAUUUGUUGAUAUUCAUGACCAACUAUCAUAUAUAUUUACUAAACCUUUGGCAAAAGAACAUUUCUAUAAAAUUAGACAAGAAUUAGACAUACUUGAUGAAACUUACUUGUCUUAAAUGCUUAUAUACGAUUAUAUGUUUGCUUCAUUGUGUUUAUCUUAUGCCUACUUGUACUUAAAAUUGCUUAGUUUUGUUUAAAAUUUCAAUUUUUGGGGUAUGUAAUCGAUUACCUAGGGUCAAUAAUUGAUUACCAGGCAUCAGUAUGCCUGAAUAUUCAAAAUUUUGGGUCAGUAACCGAUUACUCUAGAGAGUAAGGAUUACUGCAUAUGGCAUAAACUUUUAGUAACCGGUUAAUCUGGAGAGUAACUGAUUCCUGAAUAUGGCAGAAACCUUUAGUAAUCGAUUACCCAUCUGUGUAAUCGAUUACCUAAACUUGUUGUUUGAAUUCUGGGAAUUUUUAUGCUGAGUGACCGAUUACUCACCUUGAGUAACCGAUUACUCAAACCAGUAUUUAAGUGUUUAUCUUCUUCCUCAAACCCCUAUUUCAUGUCUAUCCUAUUUUUCCUAUGCUCCGAUUUGAGUGAUUUUUGAGUCAUUUCAUAUGACAUUUUCAAUUCUAAAUACGUCUAUUCCAUAAAUUUCGUGUUUAGUGGCCAAAAUAAAAAAUCCCCAAAUCUCUCAAACACUCAAAACCUAAUUUUUUUUUUAAACUUUAAUCCAUGGCUUCAUCAUCAAAAGCUAAGAAGCAAUGUACCAGUAUGUCUCUAAAGAAGAAAGACAGUUCAUCUUCUGAGGCUAAUCUUCUGGAUUUGGUACGACUUCUCGUCAAUGAUGAACAACGCAAAGUCUUCUCGGAGCAUUUUCUUAGAUGACCAAUCUUUACUCCUAAGUAUGGCAAGAUAAGUAACUUUGAGUUUGAUGAUUUCCAUUUCCCUAUUCAACUUAGGCAACAAAAUCUUUUUGAUUUCUGUGAGGAAUCAAAUGUCUAUUACCCCGAACUUGUUAGAGUAUUUUACUGCAAUUUGAACUUGAUGAAACAUUUUUUAACAUACUCAGUGAAAGGAAAAUAAAUUAUUUUAGAUGUAAAGACUUUCAGUUCCAUAUGUUGUAAUAUACCCUAUCAAGGUAGCAUAAAAGAUUUCGGUCUUGUAUGUGAAUGGGAUAAUUAUGAUAGAAAAGAGUUCUACUACUCCUUGUUUAGAUUCUCUAAACGGGAAAUCGAAAUGCAUAACCAACAGGCUUUAAGUAAAACUGUAAAUAGUAGAGAUAUAUUUGCUAUAGGAAAUCUCAAUCUCGAAGAUCGUUUGCUUCACUACUUUCUUAGCUACGUCAUAGUUCCAAAAUUAUCAAAUCAUUCUCAAAUUAAUGAUUGUUUGCUUCACUACAAUUGAUGUAUGCUCUUAAGUAUAACCUUCAAAUCAAUUGGGCUUUGACAGUAAUGAGACAAAUGUGGUAUGUGCGAGAAACUCACAGCCCCUUGCCUUAUGCAAUCUUCAUCACAAACAUACAUGACCAUUUUGGUGUAUCCACUGUUGGUGAGUUCAAAAUCACACUCGAUGCACGCGAUAGUAAGAUCGAUGUUGUUGUGAUCCAAAAAAUGGGUUUCUUUCAAGACUAAAUUGAUGGGAUUUAUAAGCAUCAAAGUGAUAGUCAGGUUGCACGUGCUGAUCCAAUUGCAAAUGUCUCUAUUAACCCUCCAUUACCUCAACCUUCCGAAUUUCAUGCUGAGUCAUCUUCAUCUUUUGCCAUGCCUACCAAUUAGAUGACCAUGGACGAAUUAUUCUCUCUUCGAGGCUACAUCUCUAAUCGGAUGGAUGCUCUUGAUGAUCAGAAUCAGCAAGUCCAAGUUGAACUUCAACGUCUAUCUUAUAAGAUCUACAUCAUGGAUCUUGAUGACGAUAGUACUGAGCCUGAGUCUUAGAAUAAUUGAUGUCUAGGUUUCUCUUUGUAAUGUUGCGUGAUUGUUAACAUUUUUUUAUAUGUUUUCUGGUUGUUUGAACAAUGUAUGAAUACAAUUUUAGUUUUAUUCUAUGCUAUGUUAAAUUUUUGUUUGCUAUAUACAUAUCGUGUGUGCUGGACUCUGGAUUUUCUUCUAAGUCAAAAGGGGGAGAAAAGUUGGGAGAGUGUAUUUUUUGUUUGAAAUUCUUUCAGGUACAUAACUCCAAAUUAAAGGGGGAGUAUGCAAAAUAGGGGGAGCAUACUCAAGUCAUGUCAAAAUAUCACAAAAUAUGCACUCUUAGAAAACUAAACUAUCAAGAAGAUAAUGGUUUAUCAUCAUCAAAAAGGGGGAGAUUGUGAAGAAGAUUUUGCUCCUGAACUUGGCACGAUUUUGAUGAAGACACCAAUAUCACACAAAGAAGAAAAUGAAGAAUACUUAUGAAGACAAAGAAGAUAAAGCUUCAAGGAAUUUAGAGUCUAAGUCUAUAGGUUCUUCUAUCUUUAUACUUGAUAAUAUACAAUUAGUAGUAACGCUCAAAAAUAUUUUUAAAAGAAAAUUGAAAACUACAAGUAUAAAUGAAAAUAAUUUUCAAAAUACUGUGUAACAGGUUACUGGAUCUAAGUAACAAGUUAUUGGGACUAAGUAACAGGUUAUUGUGACUAAGUAACAGGUUACCAAAACUAAGUAACAUGUUACAUGAGUGAGAAAUGAGCUACCCAACAAAACCUGAACAUGGUAAUGAUUACUCCCUUUGAGUAACCGAUUACACAGUAUGGUAAUCGAUUACUCAGUUGGACAGAAUGUUUGGGUAAUCGAUUACGUCGAUGCUGUAAUCGAUUACUAAGAGUUGUUACACUAGAUUUUCAUAUUCAAACUGAACAGCUUUCACCCCAAAUGUAUUGGUUUCAUUCCAAUCGGAUCCAACCUUUUCAUAGAGGUUUCAUGACUGAUUAGAAAGCCUAUUUAAAGGCAUUACAACUCAUAAUUCAAACACACAGCUCACAUACACAAUCUGAAUUUUUCUGAAACACUUUUUUUGCACUUUCUGCAAAUUGUUCUUAAUUUUCAGAUUAAAUUUUCCGAAGUUGCUUUAAGUGUGGUUUCAAAGAUUUUUCAAACCUUCUGAGCAUUAUAACUAAAUGUUAAAGAGUUACCGUAUUGCAAGAGAUCAUUGUGUUCAAAUCUUGUAAAGGCAAUCCUUGCCAUUGUUAAAGUUUUCUUCAUUCAAUUUUUUGAAAUAAUUUAUAUCACAAGGGUGUGAUAAGAAAGGGAAUAGAGUCACUUAGAAAAGUUGUUUUCCAAAGAGUGACAUAGGUAUUAGAGAGUGAGCAAGAUACAAGGAAGUCUCGGGUUGAGAAUUUGUAAUUAUUACUCUUAAUAUUUAGUGAAGAAAUCUCUUGUGAUGUAAGAGUACUAGAUGUUACCUUCGGUGGGCAAGAAGGUGAACCAAUAUAAAACUCUUUGAUUACUCUCUUCUCCCUUAUCUCCUUAAAUUUACUUGAUAUCUUUCUGCAUAACUUUUCCGCUGCUACUAACUCUGAAAUUUGCAGAAAAAUUUAUCAUAGAUUUAAGACAACUAAUUCAUCCACCUCUUAGUUGUCAUCCCAGUCUUACACAAAUGGUUAAGCCAUUUCACAUAACCAUUCAUGUAAGAUGACAUUACUAAUAGUCAUCUCACUUAACAUAGUAUAUAUAUUUGAUUUCAUUUAAUUAUUCAAAUAGAAAUAAUAUCAUAACAAAUGGAUGUUUCUUCCAUAAGUUAGUCAACAUGAUUUAACUAUAUCUUUAACUAUUAAACCAUUAUAUGAGACACAGUUCUUACAUUCUCCCACUUGUUUCAUAUAAUAAUACAUUUAUGGUUUAAUAAGAAAACAUAAUGCGCAUAUAAAUAUAAUGUUAAAUCAUCGAUAUAAUGACUACAUCAUAACAUCAUGACUAAGUAGAAAGUUAAUAUUAGUCAUGGCGGUUGUACAUCAUUAUCUUCGACAUAGUACCUUCCAUGUACCACAAUACUAACCUUUUUCCUUAACAUGAUACAUAAUGAAGAUUAUGGUCCAACUUUAAUGUCUUUAAUAAGAUCUUUAUUCUUGUUGUCAUUAUCUAAUCUAAUAAUGUAUACCAAUUAGAAACAAGAAAUAUCAAAAACAACUUUCAUAGUUGAGCUCAAGGUGUUAAACAAUCCAAAAUAAUCAUAAUAUAUUCUCAUUAAUGACGUCCAAUAAUGCCCAUUCUUUUGACAUGAUCAUAAAAUGUCUAGGGCGGUAAUCCUUUCUUAGUGGAUAUGUUCAUAAUAUUGUUAGAAUAUAUGUAAAUAUAAUCUGUAUCUACUCAUAAUGAUAGUGAUAAUUAGUUUCUACACAAUAGGAAACUAAUUAUCAUUAAGAUAGAGAGAGAUCCUAUGCUACAAAUCAGAAACUAAUUAUCACUAUCAUUAUGAGUAGAUACAGAUUAUAUUUACAUAUAUUCUAACAAAUAUUUGUGCUAACAUAUCUUCGAUUGUCACUCUAUGUUUCUGAACUACUCUAACAACAAGAUACUUCAAUUCAUAAGUUUAGAACCCUUAGAGUAUUUGCCUUUUAUUACUGCAGAACUAUUACAACAAUUUUCUAGCGGUCUGACAAUAAUGUCGACAUAAUUCAAGUCCUGAAAUAAAAUCAUAUGGUCGAUUAUCCUGAACUUUAGUCUCAAAACAUGCUAUAAGUUCAACUUUAAAAUCACCCCAAGGCGGUGAUACAUUCCUUAUGUAAAUAUGUGUUCAUUCAUUGCUCUAUACAAGUAGAUUUAGAGCAUUCAGAGCAUGCAUAUUACUCCCAACAUUGCAUGCCUAUAUAAUUAUUUUCAUCCAAUUAUAUUUCAAGUCACUUUAGAACUUUCAAUGAUAUUGAAUUUGGCUUCAUUAUGAGUUGAAACAUGUAUAACACUUUUUUAUUCUAGAUCUCUCUAAAACUCUUUAUAUAUGCCUCAUGAGACAAAUUCAAUGAUCCUUGUGAUAUUUAUGUAAUAUCUUUAUCCCGAUCAUAAUGAUUGUCUCACUCAUAUAUUUUUCAUUUCAAAGUUACUAGAGAGAAGUCACAUGCAAGAGAUCAACAUCAUUAGUUGCAAACAAAACAUCAUCAAUAUACAAAAUCAAGAAGAUAAAUAUAUGUCCACUAACCUUUGGAUAUAUACAUUGAUAAGCAAUGUUUUCCUUAAAUCCAAAUAAAAUAAUAAUAUUACUAAACAUAAAAAUACUAUUAUUGUUGGGAAGCUCACUUAAAUCUGUAUAUUUAUGUUUUAAGUUUAUACACAAUAUGUUCAUUUCUUUCUCACCUGAACUCCAUUAUUUUGUGCUUAUAAACUUAUUCAUCUAAAUUUUCAUUCAGAAAAACAUAUUUCACAUCCAUUUAGUUUAAAUCUUGAUCAUAAUGAGUCAACAAUAAUAUUUUAAUUCUGAGACAAUCUUUCUAAGAGAUUGCAAAAAGCUUUUGUAUAAUUAACGUCAAUUUUGUGAGUAACCCUUUUACAAAUACUCUAAUCUUGUAACAUUAUAAGUUACUAUGAGAGUUGUGUUUAGCCCUUAAAGACUCACCUUCAAACAAUUCUCUUAAAACCUUCGAGUAACUCAACAUGUUCCAAAACUUCAUUAUAUUUUAUGAGUUUUAACUCUUCUUUCAUGACAUCUAAACAUUUAUCAGAAUUAUUACCAUUCUUGGAUUCAGAAAAUAUUAACUGGGACUUUAAUAUUCUAAGUCGAUUUCUAACUUAGGUAAAUAAACCAAAUAACCAUUAAAUAGCUAAUCUCAUUUUUUUCUUCGAGAUCUUCUUAAUGCUAUUUGUCAUGGUUCUUCUACUAUAGGCUCAUUUACUAUAAUUUCAUUAAGACGAGGAGAUCAUUUACUUGUUGUUCUUUAUUGUUAUGGAGCGAUUCAACAAUUUUAAGGAACAACAACUUUAGAAGAUAUACAAGUCAAAGAAUAUUGUAUUCUAUUUUCAAGAAGUUCAACUUUAUGUUGUCUUCUAAUUUACUUUCACUAACUUCGUCAUUCAUAAUGAACUUAACAAUCUCAGAUUCAAUAAUCCUUAAUGAUAUAGUUUCAAUAAUAAAACUUUACCCUUUUAACUUUUCUAGAUAUAACUAAUAGAAAAACCAUUGAUUGCUUUGUGUUGAAUAUAUUUUAUUGUGGAUUAUAGUAUUUAAUUUCUAUUUGACAAUCCUAAACAUGUAAGUGUCUUAUACUAAGUUUCCUAUUAUUUCACAUAUCAAAAGAAAUCUAUGAAAUUAUCUUACUAGGAACCCAAUUCAACAAAUACAUGAUAAUACAUAAAAAAUAAUUCCACAAUAAAAUGGGUAAAUAAGAAUUACAUACCUUAAUUUUGACCAUGUCCAAGAAGAUUUUGUCACGACUUUCUGAUACAUCAUUUUAUAUCUCCCAAAAUACUCAUUACUUUUGGAGAUUUUACACUUUUACCAUUAUAUCUAAUAUCAUUUGAGCUUCAUUAAUAAAAUACCUAGUAUUUACAACUUUAGACUUUUCAUGUAGAAAUUAGACAUACUAUAAUAUGAACAAUACUUACAAAAAAUAUAUAUUUCAUUAUCAAAUAAAUUAAUACAAAAUAGUUGUGUAUACUUUCAAGAAGUUGAGUGUUUGUGGCGUCUUUAACUAUGUGUUUUGCUUGUUUACUUUAAUGCAAUCCAAACAUACAUCCAUAUUAGUAAAAUCCAAAAUCUUAGACAAUUUUAUUAUCUACUAAUCUUUGCAUUCCUUUUUUUUUAGAAAUGAAUCCAAACAUUUACGCCAUAAAUAAGCAAAACAAUCUUUAACUAAUUCAUGUUUAGUAUCAAUAUUCAAAUGCAAGUUAAGUGUUUAAACAUAAGGUUUGUCAAUAUUUAGCUUAUAUAAUUCAUAUAUAACAUAUCACUCCUAAUCAUACAGGAAUGUUCAAACAAACCCCAACUCUUAUUACAACUUUCAUUUCAUUGUCAAUAUGAACAAAUAAUUUGGGUCAUAAGAUUUCUUGCAUUUUAUUUGAAACAUAAACACUUGAUACUUCCAAACCUUAAUCCACAAACAUUAUAUGGAAGUCCAAUUAAUUUUGGUUCAAAAUAAUACAUAAGAAUUAAACUUAUUCUUUCUUUUGAAUCAAGUCUUACUUUUUAGACAAUUCUUUGGAAAUGUCUAAUCUCUUUAGAGAUAUGACUCUGUUUAUAUAUGGUUCCUAAUUGUGGAUUUAAGAGGAAGAAGAUCUAAUAGUCUUUAAUGAUCAUUUUCCUUUAUCAUCAUAUUUCUUACUACCAUUCGUUUCAACUUCUUGAUAGUAAACAUAAUUCAUGGAACAAUUCCUUUGAUUAUUAAGGUUAUUCCAUUCUUGAACUAACAUAAUAUGUAAUUCAUGUACAUCCCAUUUUUCCUUCAUGGGAUUAUAGUUCAUUUAUAAUGGACCAGAAUUCAAUUUAUAUUCAUUCUUAAUGACAUAAAUUUUUGCUGCAAUAUUUGCCAUUUUAAUGACAUUCAAUAGAUAGUACCAAAACCACUAACUUUCAUGGUAAUUAGAUACUCUAUAAGUCUUUUGUUAGAGAUACAUCAUUAACUAAAUAAAUUAGUAGAGUUUAACUUAUUAUUAUCUGCAACUCUCAUCUUGAUAGAUAUCAAACUAUCUUUGUAUAUCUUAAUUUAUCAGGCUUUAUAAUGAGACUUUUCUUUAUUGUUGUUAGCAUCAAUAGUAACAACAUAUCAUUAGUGAGAGUGUAGAGAAGACUAAAAAUACUAUAACAAUAUAGCAAUUCACGUUAAUGUUUUUAGACAUAAGAUACAUCUUACAUAUAUUAUCAAUUCAAACAAUUAAGGUAUAUUAAUGAUCUCAUUUGGAUGAUGCAUUAGUACACAAUAUUAAAAUAUAAUGAUACUUAAUUUAAUAUACAUUAAUCUAGUAAUUAAGAUAUGCUAAAUAGAUUUAUUUGCUAUCUUUGGAUAUGCUAAAUAAAAACUUUUAGGCAUAUUAAUUACUAAUAAUUAUCUUCAUUAAUUAUGACAACAAUUAAUCAACAUUUGAGCGAUCCAGGAAGUCUCAUAACAAUGAAAUUCAAUUUACCCACAAAACAUAAUAAGCAUCAAAAUUUAUGGGUAAUUGAAUAUACUUUUACAAUUUAAAAUUUAAUUCAUUCAUAUUUGGUCACUUUGGUAACUAACAAAUAUAUCAUAGUAUAAAUUUUAAAAUAUAAUAGAUAUGCAAAUUAUUCAACCAAAAUAAUGAUUAGGUUCUUGUCCCAUUAUGAAACAAGAUUUAAUUGAUUAUAUGCGUAUAUACAGAGAAGAAAUAUUAAUUUAUGAAACAUAAAGAACAUAAUUUUCUAUUUAAAAAGUGGCAAGUUCCACACAUGUCUUUAGUUUUGACUUUCAAAUAGCAAAAGACAUUUUGUUGUUUAAAUCUCAAGACGUGCAAUUUUUAAUUUACUAUACAUAAUUGAACAUGGAGGACCAUUGCUUGGUUUCAACAAUAACAAAUAUUCAAAGCAAAGAAUGCAACAAUCUUCAUUAAAUUGUCCAUUCUUCAUCUUUAAUAAACAUGCAUCAACUAGGCAUUCAAAGUAGCAACAUGACACAUAACAAAAUCAUUUAAUAGAUACAAAUUUUAUGUGAUUUAAGAUGAAAAUUAAAUAUCCAUUCCCUAACUUGGUUCUUGUUAUUAAAGAAUGUAUCGUACGUUCUUCAUCCAAUUUUUCAUAACUUUAACACAAAUGUUCUUUGAUUAUAAAAUCAUGCAGCAGAAAACUUUAUACUUGAAUUUGAAUUCUCUCAUGUAAACUCAUGAACAAUCAUAAAAACAAUAUUUAUGGAUAAUGAAUCAAACUUCAUCAACAGAAAACAAUAAAUUAUCAUACUUAUUAUUAAAUUGAAAAAACAUGAGUCCUCAAACAAUGACUCUAAUAACAUAUGUAAACUUACACUAGUUUAUACACAUAUACACUAGUUUAUACGCAUAUAUAAACUUUCAUUAACAUACUAAUAUCAAGAUCUAAAACUACAUUUUUUUCACAAAGAUAAGUAAGAGGAAGCGUACCGUUCUCAUAGAUUUGAUUUGAAGAGGAAGUCUUAAUUGUAGAUGAGUAUUGUCUUGUGAUGUUGAUAUUUCUAUAUCCGUAAAAUGUUGGUUUCUUCCUCUUGACUCAUUUCUUAAUAGUACAUUAGUGAUGGAUAUAAUGUACUUCUUGAUUGAGUAGAGUGACGGCCACAUCCUUAAUUUAUAGGGCAUAUAACGUGCUUCUAUCAUACACCUCUCUUCUUGAAAUUAGCUUUCCAAAUGGUUAGGCCAUUUCACAUAACCAUUCAUAUAAGGUGACUUUACAAAUAGUCAUCUCACUUAACAUAACAUAUAUCUAUUUGAUUUCAUUUAAUUAUUCAAAAAUAAUAAUAUCAUAACAAAAUGAUGUUUCUUCCUGACUUCUCACUUUCUCUAUCUUUUGUAAUAAAAAAAUAUUGACUUUGUUGUAAAUGAAUUACACAUUGUAUGUGUAUAAAUUACAAUAAUUAAUAAUUAUAAAAAACUCUUCAAACAAGUGUAAUCACUUGAAUAUAAAAAUAAAAAGGUAUGUAGAUUAGAGAUAUAUGGACUGAAGUUCAAAAUGAAAAAUCAAUUUUUUUUGAAGAAGUUUGAAUUGUUUUCUAAAGUGGGUUCUUGAAAACUUUCUAUCUUUUUUUCUGAAAUUGAUUCUAUAUUGGUUAUGUGAACCCUCCAACUCUCAAAAUAGUUAUUUUCAGUUCGAGUCACCGAGUAAAUGAAUUACCUAUUUUCAACACCUCAUAAUUGAUUAUUAUUAAGUCAUAAUUGAUUAUCUAUUGUAAAAAUAGUUCCCCAACAACAUUGAUUCAGAUAAUUGAAUAUAUUAUCGAUUUUCCUUCAUAAUGGAUACAUCAUCGAUUAUCGAGAGACAAUAUAUCCCUGCAUCUCAAUCCAAAAUCAUUUAAUGUUAAAUUAGAUAGGUAAGGAGUGUUUUAAACACUUAGCAAUAUACCCCAUUCAUUGUUGACCUAUGAAAUAUAAAUAACAAUCUAAGAUACUAUAGAUUACAUCCUAAUUUUGUUAUUGUCACAUAGCCUUAUUUUGUCUUUAGCUUUAACUAUCUCUACAUAAAAAUAGGUAAUGCAUAGAUUAUUUCAUCUUGGUUUCACAUAACUUUUAGAUAAAUUACUUCGGAUGUAUCUCCUAAUUUUCUCCAUGAAUUUCAACAAAUUAGAAUUUAAGUUGUUGCAUUAAAAUCAUAGUAGCUACCUAAGUUAAAAGUUAUUUUGCUUUCUUAUGAUGUUCAAAUAUCUAUCAAUGUUAAAUUACAAUCAAGGUUACAAUUGUGAUCAAGAUUACAAUUGCGGUUAUGUUCUAAUAUUAUGGUCACAUUUGUUGAGAAAAUGUAUUCUCAGCUUGAAAUAAUCUUAAAGACUUAUAGUUAAAGAUUUCAUUGAGUUGUUAUCUUUAAACUAAAAUAAAGUAAAAAACUUGAUGAACUAUUGUCAGAUCUCCAAGCUAUAUAUGUAAUUCUUCGGUCUUUCAUCUCUUAAAUAUUCUUUGAUUCUUCUAUUACUAGCACAUGUAAUCAUAUCUUAAUGGUGGAGAUAAGAGAAUUCUCACUACCACUAAGGUAAAGUAACAAGCUCCCAAGUCUUAAUCUUCUCAAUUCCUCCUUCAUAUCUUCCACCCAUAUCAACAACUAAAGUCAUAUGCAUUACAUCUCAUUCAUUAAUCGUUGCACUAUCUAAGACUAUUUCAUUAUCAUCAAACCUUCUAGGAAGCACCCUAUUUCUCUGAGAUCUUUGGAGCUGUUGUGGUGGUUGUUGUGUAGCAUUUUACUGAAAGAACUUGGCAAUUAAUAAAAGUUUUUUUUAUACUUUUUUGGAAUUCUAAACAUAUGUCAAUGGACGUGCAUUAGAAAAACUAAUAGUUAAUAACUAUUACAUCAUCAUUGUUAUUCAAUUCAACGUGAUGGCAAAAAUGGUUAUUGUGGGUUUAGCAGAACGAGUCUAGUCCACAAAAUUUAUAUGUUUGGAUUUAUUGAUUAUAGGUUCAUAUCUCUUAAGGGAGAUGGGGAAGUAACAAGAAGAGAACUCAAUUAUUGAACCUACACCAUUUGAGUUUGAGUCUUAGAUCACUAGAGUAAUUAUAAGAUUCUUGGGGGCUCUUUCUAGAUCUCCACUAACAAAUUGGCAAGGAGAUCAAGAGAUCUGAUUGAAUCAUAUACCUGAGAGUAGGUACAAUCUUCAAUCAGGUAUGAGUUUGUAUCUUGAGAAAGAACUUAACCUACAAUUCGGUGCCUCACAUCCAUAGAUUCAUGGAACGAAUGUAAUAAAGUAAGAAAUUUAUUAAAAUCAAGUGAUAACCUUAUCCCAAAACAAUUUUUUAUCUUAAUUCAAUUAUUUUCUAUUUAUUUUUAUUCAAUUGUUAUGUGAAUUCAUAUUUAAAUUUAAUCAAAUAGUGAUUAAAGAAAAAAUAGUUAAACAUAAUCAAGAGAUAUUUGUAGUUCUUGUGGGAUCAAUCUUUUUAUUACUCGGCGACAUAAUUGUGCACUUGCGGUUUAAGCACAUCAAUUUUUGGCACUAUUGUAGACUCUAGCAUAUUCUCUUUAUUCUUAAUCACUUACUUAAUACGCUUUGCUUUCUUUUGGUACAUCCACAUGUUGUUAUAGUAUAUGCAAAGUUCCAUUGAUGCGAGACAGACAAGUUGAUUUGAACUAGAUCUUGACCUAUAAAAGACUGAAUUAAAAAAGAAUGCAACAAAGAGAAAGAGCAAGAUAAAGAUGUGAGUGACUAGAAGCCAUGGCUGACUGAGACAACAAACCUCUUAAGGGCUACACAAUACCCAAUGCUUAUUAUCUACAAUUACUGAUUGCAAGGCCGAUUUUUGAAGUUGAGAACUUCGCCAUACCACCUUCAUUGUGUUGGGUACCAGUAAGGUAAGUCACACCUAGAGGGGGUGAAUAGGUGUAGCGGAUCACUAGUCUCGUUUUUCCACUAUUGGAAACCAAUCAUUUGAUACAAUCAAACUUCCAAUACACCUAGGAAGAACUUCCUUCUUGAACCCGAUAAGCCUACUCACUCGAUUUGAUCUCACGACUCCCCUACUAGGAUACCACACCGUUCACGAUUUUGGCCUCAGCCGAAGAUUCGACCGAUCCAAGACUUCCUGCUUCAUGAAGACACACAAAAUUCUCUUUUAUGAUGAUACUAACAUAUAAAGAGAAACAAUCCUUGUUAUUCACAAUGUUUGUCGAGUUAUCAAUGAACACUUAAUGCGCGAAUAUAGACUCUAAUCUCAGUUCUACAAACCCCUACAGAACUCUCACAAGAAGCCUAAAACUAAAUGUAACGCAAUGUAGUGGUUCUUCAAAUGAAUGAAAACUAUGACACUUUGAAAAAGUUUCUCUCUAGAAAACGAUGCAAGAUUUCAUUUUCUUUUGCUCAAAGAAUAAGCAAGAUUCUAUCAAGUUUAUGUACUGAGAAUCUUGGUUUUCAUCCUCUCAAUGAAAAUUUUGAAUCUAUGAAUUCUACACAUUAGUUGAAAAAACAGUUUUUAUAUGAAACUGAUUUUAACUGAUGUUAAUCGAUUAUCUAACCAGUUAAUCGAUUAACAUGCUUAUGCAAAAUAGUUUUUCUGUUAAGGUUUAAUCGAUUAUCAAUCUCUUUAAUCAAUUAACAAACUAGAAAUCUUAUGAAGUUAGUCACUAUAACUCCAUUUAAUCAAUUAUACCGAUCCUUAAUCAAUUAACAAAUUUCAACCACAUAUAAUCAAUUAUCAAUCACAUUAAUCAAGUAAUGUAUAUGAAAAUGGUUUUCAUUGAUGUAUGGUAAACAUUCUAUAUGAUGAAAAAACAUGCAACACAUGAUUUUGAAAAAGAUGUCUCUUUUAUGGCAAAAACCAUGUAUGAUUAAUGCAGAUGCAUGAUUCUACUUAUCAUAUAUAUUUAGAUGUAAUGGUUCAACCUAGAUGAAUUUCAUUUUAAUCUCUUGUGAGACUUUCAUCAAUGGUUUACCUAACCUAGACUCAAAACUAGGCAACCAUCUUAGGACUUCUAGAAUAAUAAAAGAAUCCUAAGUCUACGAUAUUGACCUUUGAGUCUUUGACAUAUUGUUUGUUGUGAUUUCCAUAUCUGCAAGCUUCCAAUUAACUCCUUGUCUUCAUCAAAACUUAGUAGAUAAUUCAUACCGACAACCUUUGACUAUUUGUGAUUUCAAUCUCCUCUUUUUUGAUGAUGACAAACUCUAAACAAUUCUCUGUUUGAUUGCCUUGAUGUUGAACAACAUGUUUUUGUAAUGGUUGAAUCAGAAUGUGCUGCUCCCCCUCACUUUGUUCUCCCCCUCAAUCCAUAUAGGAGGUGGUACAAGGGUAUCACUUCAAUAUUAAAUGCAAAAGCUCAAUGCAACCUUUAAAACAACUCAAACAACACUUUCUCCCUCUUUUGGCAUGAUCAAAAAGCUAUGACAUUAUAAGAUAAUAACACCCAAAAGUAAGGAAAGAUUUUCAAAAAGGUUCACGAGCCUUAAUUGAUUAAGUAAUCAAGGAUAAUUGAUUAAGCAGUUUCAAAAAGAAUUAAAUAAGUGCGCAGUUGAUGUAGUUAAUCGAUUAUUGGCAGAGAGUUAAUCGAUUAAACAGAAUAAAAAUAGAUUAUGGCAGAAAUGAAUUGCAAGAUAUAUCCAUGUUUGUGUAAUUAGACAAGUUAUCAUAGAAUGAUUAAUGGUAUAUAGUGUAAAUCACAUAGAGGAUAUAUUAACCAUUCAAAUAGAAAGUACAUAAGUUCGAUAUAAUCAAAUAUCAACAGUGGUUCUUACAAAACCAAAUUAAUCAACAAAAUUACGAGAAAUUUCAAAAUGCAUGCAUGAAGUACAUAAUAAGUUCAAAACAUAUUACAACCAAAGUCAAAAUACAAUCUCAAAAGAUAUACAAACACCCUAGACUCUAGAAAAAUCGUAUCUAGGCUAAUCUUGAGGUGGUGGUGGUGGUGAUGAAUAUCUGUGUGGUGCACAUAAUGAAGAUGAUGCGGUCUAGAUCCAUGGUUAACCUCUCUUGUUGCGGUUUGAACUUAGCCGCCAUGGAAUUCCUCAAUGACUGGAAAUGUCCAUCAAUACGCACAUUUAGGCACUAUUCCUUGGCAUCCAAGUGUGAUAGCCCAAAAGAUGGUUCAUGAGGCACAACAUUUGCCUCGACUUGUGGUUGUUCGUGGUUUGGCUCACUAAGAUUUGUAGCAUUGUCUUCAUCAGAUAAGUCACCAUUCACAUUGACAUUGUGAUCCUCUUGGUACAUCCACACUUUGCCAAAUUUGUAAAUUCUCAUUUUGUGAAUGAGACUGUCACCUAGUGGGUGCUCUCGAGAAUUUGUAACCAUGACAUCCACAUUUGACGUGUCAAUUUCGAGAUAAUCAAUAACACGGGAGAUGAAAAUCCCAUAAGCAGGCAACCUAUAUGAAGAUGAGGCUAUUCAAUUCAAAACCUUUAGAAUUUCAGCAGGCCUAUUUACCGUAUUCCUUCCCUUAUGACAAACAUCGGCUUGAGAUCAUUGAUGGUUGGUUGAGCAUGGUUGGUGUUUCUCUUAAUCAGAAUGUACGCAAUUAAGUAGCGCAAGAGUCGAUUUUGAACCGACAAUGACCCAACCUUGGUCAAUUCUCCUUGCACAUACAAAUGAGGUCAUCUUAUACAUUUCAAUAGCAUCGAAUGAGUCCCAUAACUCAUUGCUGCAAUCUCCUAACAUCGAUUCAUCGUUGGAUAAUCCUCCAACAUCUAGAAACAAUUCUUCAUCCAAAUUUAUCAUUUUUCCCAUUACCAUAUAAGCGUAUACCUCAUCCUUAUACCGAAAAUUACAAUAGAAUUUCCUUAUGAGUGAUGGAUAGAUUUUACCUUUCAAUUCUAAAAAAUUAUUUGCAUCUUGGGUCUCUAAUCCAUGAGGGAACUCGAAUCCUUGUUCCACUAGCCAAGCAGCAUCCGCAUAUCGAAUGUAAGUUUGUUUCCUUCCUUGAAAUUUGGCUACACGAGCUUCUUGAAGGAUUGGAGUGUAAUAGGGGUCACCAUAGCCCUUUCUUCCACCUUGAGCGGAAGAGGAGCCAAUGUCCACACCUUGUGGAUGCUUAGCAUUGGUCUUCACCCUUCUUGGACGCGGUUCACCCAUGUUUUUCAGGUAUUAGAGUGAUUAAUCGAUUGAAUAAUUGAUUUUUCAAAUUUGGGAUUAGGGUUUCUAAAAACGGGAAAAGGUUAGGGUUUCAUAUUUCGGUGAAAUUGAAGAUUAUAGGAAGAUGGAAAUGAUGUGAUAGGAUUUGGAGUAGCUAUUGCUGAGGUAGAGAUCACUCAAUUUGAGAAGAAAUUCAGAAGGGGGUAGCGUAGAGGAUUUGGGGUUCUAAUGUCGAAUGACAUAGAACAACAUUGAAACCUGAUAUAAUGUCACCGUUAAUCGAUUAAGGUCAGUGGUUAAUUGAUUAAACACUUUAAGAAAUUUUCAAUUUUCAGAAAUUUGAGCCCAAACAAUCGAUUAAGCAACUUGUUAAUCGAUUAAACCAAGAUGAAAAGUUAUUUUCUAGUUACUGGAACUCAAAUUAAUCGAUUAAAACAUAGAAAAAUCGAUUAAGAACAAAAAUAAUACAUAUUUUAGUGCACUUUUGAGAUCUAUAGGGUAUGCAAAGAUAUUAUACCUAAGACACUAACCUAAAAGGUAUAUGACACACUAAAGAAGUAUAAAACAAUCACAAAAUCAAUUAAGCAUAUGAAUCAUGCAUUCACAAUACACGUUAUAAAUAAGCAUGUAUUAAAGAUCAAAUUUAGAUACUACAUGAUACGUUUAACAUCAGUAAAAUGUGAUUCCUUAAGUAAUGCUUAGUAUCUUUCGCAUAUGCAUACACUAAACAUAAUAUCGGAACGACUAGAAGUUAGAUGCAGCAAUGAAACAAUUAUGCCUCGAUAUUUUGUUAUCUCUAUUGCUUCACCUUUUUCAUCCUUGUUGGGAUAGCAAGAUGAUACCAUAGGUGUUGUCGCUUCUUUGCAUUUGUUCAUCUCGUACUUCUAUUUGAUGAACAAAUAUCAUGUUGCUCAUUUAAUUAACUUUAUCUUUGAGUGACAGUUCAAGAAACUUUGAUCGAUCACCUGUUAUAUGCCUCGAACAUUUAAUAUCCAAAUAUUAGUAUUGACCUUGUGUCUAAAGGCAUACAUGCAAAACAAUUUACUUGGCUUGUUUGGGUAGCCAAGUUUUAUUGGGUCCCUUCUUGUUAGUAACCAAAGAAUCUAGUCCCAUUUUCAUCCAUACAUAUUUGCCACUUGGCACACCAUAUUUUUCAACAUAGCAAGAUAUUGAUGUAUGACCAUAUGUACUAGAAUAAAAGUAAGUAGGCAUGUUAUGAUUAAAUAUUUUAUGCAUGUGAGCCACUUGUUUUCUAUAUGGUUUUCUUCUACUCUUAGGUUUGUAGCCUAGACUUUUAUGGAUACCUACAUUUCUAGAUGUAGAAAGUAAGUUGCUUAGGUUUUGACUACUAUAGGUGAACUUACCUAAUUUAUCUUUCAAAUCAGAAUUUUCAGCAUUCAAAAUAUCACAUUGUUCAUAUAUAGGAGUCUCAAUUAACUUAGUAGAGCAAGUACAUGAGGCACAAGAGUAAAUAAGGUCUAGAGUCUCAUUUUCCAAUUUUAGUUCAUUUAAUUCUUCUUGCACUUAACAAUUUUUUCCAUGCAACAUGAUGACUUUUUUCCUAACUACAUUAACCUUAGCCAAUUUCUUUAACUCCUCAUGUAACUCAACAAAAGCACUCUAAAGUUCAUCAUACGUAGGAGACUCUUCAGAACAUAAAGAAGUGUCAGAAUAUUGUACCUGAUUUGUAUUAUUCUGAUCACUUGAGCUGCUAACUUCUUGAGUAUUUUCCAUGAACUAUAACUUGGCGGUCUCCCCCUAUUCGGAUGUGCUAGAUGUUGUUUCAUCCUCCAGAACGUUCCAAACUAUAUAUGUUAUAUUGGAUAUGAAUUCUCGGGGAUUGCUCUUAUCAUUCUCAACUUUCUUGAGCUAGCUCGAGCAUUGAUAGUGCAUGUGUCCCAGUUUGCCACACUCAUAGCAAGUUAGGUGGUCUUUCGGAACCUUGCCCUUUCAAGUUGAGUCUAUCGCCUCUUUCUUCUGAAACCGUUUGAAACUUCCUCUCUUUUUGAGAAAUUUACCAAAUUUUAAAACUACGAGUGUCAAGGUUUCGUCAUCCAUAUGAGAAUCAGAAUCUUCGUCAUUUUUAUCUUCUUGUUCUUGUGACGUUGUAGCUUUGAGAUAGAUUUUCUUUUUCUUUCUUUUUGUUUCCUCAUGUAUGGUUAAGGGUCCUAACUCCAUUUCAUGCUCUUGGAGUUUUCCAAAGAGAGUUGCUAGAGGCAUUGAAUUAAGAUCUUUUGAUUCCAUAAUUGCCAUGACCUUGGGCUGCCAAUUCAUGUCAAGACAACACAAUACUUUGUUAGUUAGUUCACCAUUAGCAAAACUCUUAUCUAAAGCAACAAAAUGAUUAACUAUAUGAGUGAAUCUUUUCUACAUAUCACUUAUCGAUUCAUUUUGAACCAUUCGGAAUAACUCAUAUUCGUGUGUUAAUGCAUUUAGUCUCGCGCGUUUAACUUUGAUCGUGCCUUCGUGGGUUACUUGCAAAGUGUCCUACAUAUCUUUCGCACUAAGGCACUAUGAGACUCUAAAGAACUCGUCGUAUGAUAAAGCAGAAGCAAUGAUGUUGUUACCCUUAAGGUUGUACUAGACUUUUCAUUUCUCUUCAUUGGUCCAUAAGCCUUUAGGUUUUUCUUUAAGCUCACCAUCCACUAAGUGAAGUGGAGUACAAGGCCCAUUGAUAACGGAUUGCCAAAUAUCCGUGACAAUUGCCUCAAUAAAUAUUCUCCUACGCACCUUCUAGUAGGUGUACCCCUCACUACUAAAUAUCGGAGGGUGGUUGAUGGAUUCGCCCUCACCACCGAAAGGGUUAGUGGAACCCAUAGUGAAUAUCCAUAGGAUCAACAAAUAAAGCGGUCAAGCUAGCACUUUCGUACUAGCUCUAAUACCACUAGUUGGGUACCAAUAAGGUAAAUCACACUUAUAGGGGGUGAAUAGGUGUAGCAGAUCACUAGUCCCACUUUUCUGAUUAAUGCACAAAAUAGAAAGUUGUUGCAAUUAAUCGAUUAUGCUAUAUCUUGAUAUUCUUGAAAAUAGAUUUUUUGCAAUGCAAAAAUGAUGAUUAACAAUCUUUAUUGCCCUAAAUUGAUUCUUGAUUUUAAACAGAUUAUUAACACUUAGCACAAAUUACAAAAAUCAAUCAAAUCAGAAAUCAAUAAAGACUGAAAUGUAAAAGAGAUAGGUAAAAAGAAAGUACUCAAGGAUUUAUAUUCUUGUUUUGUUUGCGGGUCCACUUGAAAAAUACAUCCAGACCUUUCCUUCUGAUCUUAGGAGAUUUUUCUUCACUGUUAAAAACCAAUUGUUUUAUACAAUCAUACUUUCAAUACACCUAGCAAGAACUUCCUUCUUGAACCCAAUGAGCCUACUCAUUCGAUUUGACCUCACGAAUCGCCUACUAGGAUACCAUACUGUUCGUGAUUCUGGCCCAACCGAAGUUUCGCUUGAUCCAAGACUUCCUGCUCUAUGAAGACACACAAUUCUAUUUCAUGAUGAUACUAACACAUCAAGAGAACCAAUCUUUUUGUUUCACAAUGUUUUCCGAGUUAUCGAUGCAAACUUAAUACGCGAAUAUAGACUCUGAUUUCGGCUCUACGAACCUCUACAGAACUCUCACAAGAAGCCUAAAACUAAAUUGACAUAAUGCAGUGGUUUUUCAAAUGAAUGAAAACUAUGGCACUUUGAAAAAAAAAUUCUCUUUUUUUCUAGAAAACGAUGCAAUAUUUCAUUUUCAUUUGCUCAAAAAAUAAGUAAAAUGCUAUCAAGUUUUUGUACUGAGAAUCUUGGUUUUCUUCCUCUCUAUGAAAAUUUUGAAUCCAUGAAUUCUACACAUUACUUGAAAAAACAACUUUUAUAUGAAACUGAUUUUAACUGAUGUUAAUCGAUUAACGUGCUUAUGCAAAAUAUUUUUUCCGUUAAAGUUUCAUCGAUUAAUAAACCAAAAAUCCUAGGAAGUUAGUCACUAUAGCUCCUUUUAAUCAAUUAUACAAAUCCAUAAUCGAUUAACAUAUUUCAACAAGAUAAAAUUGAUUAUCAAUCAUGUUAAUGGAUUAAUAUAUAUGAAAAUGAUUUUCAUUGAUAUAUGGUAAACAUUAUAUAUUAUGAAAGAACAAGCAACACAUGAUGUUGAAAUAGAUGUAUCUUUUAUACACAAAAACCAUGUAUGCUUACUGUAGAUGCAUGAUUCUACUUAUCGUAUAUAUUUAGAUGUAAUGCCUCAACAUAUAUGAAUUUCAUUUUAAACUAUUGUGUGACUUUCAUCUAAGGUUUACCUAACCUAGACUCAAAAUUAGGCUACCAUCUUAGGACUUCUAGAAUAAUAAAAUAAUCAUAAGUCUACGACGUUAACCUUUGAGUCUUUGACAUGUUGUUUGUUGUGAUUUCCACAUCUUCAAGCUUCCAGUUAACUCAUUGUCUUCAUCAAAACUAAGUAGAUCAAUCAUAAUGACAACCUUUGACUAUUUGCCAUUUCACCUUGCUAUCUAUGAUUAUGCAAAAUCAAUUUAAGAGAUUGACUUAAGAAAAUCAUAAUGCUUACAUUGAAAGGUUCUCGGAAUUCUAUGAAACCAUCAGAAGUCACUAUAUGCCUCCCCCUAUUCCAAUCCUCUUUGAAGGACAAGGCAAGACAUUGGUUAAUGUUUGUACCUGAAGAGACUUUGACCACGUAGAUUCCACUAGAGUAAGUCAUCCUUAAUAAGUUCUUCCAGCCAUCUAAGGCUGUUUACUAUAGAAGUCAAAUUCAGAAAUUCAACCAAAAAGAUGGGGAAACUAUCUUGGAGGCUUGGAAGAGAUUUAAAGAUUCGCUAAAAGCUUGACCAUACCUUUUACAACUGGUUGGAUUUUUCCUCAAAGUAAUUACUUGACUUCACACCUAAUGAAACACUUAGGAACAAGGGUCUAAAUGUUGCUUAUUGUAAAUGAAAGCACACAUAACAUAAUUUCAAUGAAGAUAAAGUUUAAAGACAAGCUUCAAGACAUGGACAAAUCGACAAACAACAAAGCCAAGGCUCAACGUUCAAGCAUUCAAGAAGAUUUAGAAGACUAAUGUAUUGUCUAUUAUCUUAGGUCUUAAGAAGUUUUAUUGGGUAGAGUCUAGGUUAGGUGAACCUUAAUGGAAGUCUCAUAACCUAAAAUAUGAUCAUAACUAAUAUGAGAUUUAUAAGCAUACAUACAUGAUUUAUAUGCACAUGCAUAAAUAGAUGGUCACGUCAUUUUUGUGCAUUAAACCACGGUUAAAUCAUACAUAAUUCAAAAUCAUGCAUCAUAGUUUUAAAAAUCAUGUAGAAGGUUCAUAACACAUCAAAGUAACUUUUUAGAAAACUCUUAAUCGAUUAAUGUUGAGUUAAUCAAUUAAGACAUGCAAAAAGGGAAUCCGUUAAUUGAUUAAGUUAAGGGUUAACUGAUUAAGGGAAGUUACAGUUUCUGGAGUCUUGAUAUUUAAAGAAUGUUAAUCAAUUAAGUAGAAUGUUUAAUCGAUUAACUAGAACAAAAAAUAUAAUUGUAUUUUAAACUAACUUUUCCCAUUUGCCACAAAUUGAUUGAAUCAUUGAUUGGUUUUUUAUUUUAUUUUUACACUCAAAGAUCGAAUUUUCCAAGUGUUUCUGAAAAAAGAGAAAAGUAAUUUGAUACACAAAAGAGAUAGGAGAAUACUUCAUGAAUCAUUCAAGAAGUAUUACAAGAUUUUCACGUCAUAUCAAGUUUAUGAUACCUCGCAUCUCACAUCUUCAUAUUCUAGGUUAUGUGAGACUUUUAGGGAAGAUUUUGUAUUCUGGAAGUUCGUGCAUAUUCAGGACAUUUAGGUGUAUUAUUCAUUUUUACAUAUUUAGACAUUUGUAUUGACAAUUUCUCUUUGGUGUGUGGUAUCACCAAGAAAAAGAGAAUGUUCGAUAAACCCUAGUUAGAAGUGGUGAGGAGCCAUUAGAAGUUAGGUUCAUUGUUCAAGUAAUAUUGGUAGAGAAGUUAGAAGUGGUGAGUUUGUCCAUUAGAAGUGGUGUGGGAUCUAUUAGAAGUGGUGAAGGCAAGCCAUUAGAAACUUAGUCCAAGAUAGUCUUGGUGGAAAUGUGUUUGUAAAACAUUAUUCCAUAAGAAGAAAAUCUUCCAAGAUUUGAAAGGGGACCUGGAUGUAGAUUGCAUGUGGAUUAGCAAUUGAACUAAGAUAAAAGUCAUUGUCUUAUUUUUCUUAUCCCUUAUUAUUUACGUUUUCGUAAUAUUCGAUUUACUUUACUUGACAUUCAAAUCAUUAUGAGUUUAUUGCAUGUUCUAUUUUGUAUAAUUAACUGCAUAACUGUAUAAGUUCAUCUAGUAAAGUUCAUACAAGAUUAGGUAGACUUUUGAAUCUUAGUUUAUCAAGAAAACAAGUUUUUCAAGAAAAAAGAAUUGGUUAAUCGAUUAAGCUCUGAAGUUAAUUGAUUAUAUGCAAUCGAUUAGGACAUCCUUUAAUCGAUUAAACUGAGAGGAAAAUCAUUGAAUAUCUUUUACGCCGAAAAGCAGUAAUCAGGUACUGAACCACCUAUUCGCCCCCUCUGGAUGAAGUUAGAGCCCUUGUUAACCAAAACUUAUAAGAUUAUCGAAAAUGUGGCAUCAAACCAACAUCAAGUGGAUAAUGAUAGGAGUCCAUUCAAGAGGAUUUCACCUGAAAAUUUUGAAGUGGAUGGUGUGAACUUGAUAAUGUCCAACAUGGGUUCCAUAAGCAUGCAAAUUGAAAAGGUAAAAAGGAGUAUUGUGAAUGUCGUGAACACUGAAUACUCAAUGUGAAGCAUGGGACGCUUGGGCAAAUAAACCUACCAUACUAGAGGAACAACUCAUACCUAUCCUAUAGGAACAUUAGGACUCUAAAUCAGCAAAUGAGGAGGGAAAAGGUAAUAUUAAACCCAUAAGGAAAUUAUGCAUCAAUGUAAUUUGUGCCCAACAUCAAAUUUCUGGUUCCUGUAUGAUCAAUUGGGGCUUUAAUUAAUUGAUAAAAUGAAGAAGACAAAUGCAUAUUAUUUGUUUAAUCAAGUCAUUCAUUUAAUCUUAUAUUGAAAAUAAUUUAUAUAGAACAAGAAUUAGCUAAAUUUUUUAUUUUGGAGUCGUUAAAGGAUAAAAAGUUACACUUUAAAUAUAUAUACAUUUUUCUUUAAGAUAUUUUAUUUUUAAUUAUAGUUAUAUACUUCUUUAUAUUUUAUUCUUCUUUAACUAAUUUUAAUUCUAAAUUGUAAUUAAAGAUCGUUACCCCUUAUACAUAAGGCUGAGAUCCGCCCGUACUUACAAACAUUCUUUAGUAGUUUGAUUGGGAAAUUGAGCUGGGAUGGAAAAACGAAACACAGACAUAUCCAACACAAGCAAAACCCUCUUUUACUUAGGGCCAAUAAUCAUAUGUGACUCCUUCUUAACAAAAAAAUAUAAAAAUGUUAUGACAAGGGCAUCAUUUGAGUAUCAUUUAUGUAUAAAUAAUGAAGUUAAUGCAAUAAUAAAGACCUCAAAUAAAUAUAAUCAUUAUUUUCUUCACUGUUUCUAUUUAUAAUGUUCAACAUAAAAUAUAAAUAAUAUGUGAUGUUGUGCAAUUUUUUUGUAUCGUCUCUCAACCCGCAUCAGGCGCACCAUUAGAUUCCUUAGUACUGCUAAUAGAUGCCAUUAAAUACUAUCACCUUCAUAAAAACUUUAUAUGUAUUAUUCUUCUGGGUAUGCCACGUGUAUGAUCAGCUUAUAUGUCGAUUGAUUGAGAAUAAUGUCCAAAUAUUUGAAUAAAGUUACUCUCCAUUAAUGGAAAAGCAAAUACUUUAAUUUUCUUGUAUUUCUAAUAAUAAAGAUCUUAUUUUAUUAUACUAAAAAGGAUAAAUAUAUUAUUACAUGGUAGAUUUCUUUUUGUUUUUCAAAAACUUAAAUGGAGAGGAUCCAUACUCCAAAUAUUUAUGUUUAAAUAUAUUUCUGGUCUUUAUAAAAUAGGUAAGAGUGGAAAUAGGUUAGGCUGUCUACCAUGGACUUAUUACCUGACCUAUAACAGGUUAGGUCAGACCAAACUUUUUUCGGGAAUAUGUCAGACUUAAACUUUGAAAAACUUAUUUACCUUAACAGACCAGACUAUAGGCCAACCAAAAUAUUUAUUUUGCAUAAUAGGCUGACUUAUUUAGUUAUAUUAUGUAAUAUGUUCCUAUUAUACAAUUUUAAUGUAAGUAAUAUUAUUAUACACAUGUAAUAUUAAUAUAAAAAUAUAAUUUAAUUGUUAGUGUUAGAAGAGUCUAAUUAAAAGUAGAAAUAUUAACCUAUUUAAAUGUAGACAUCAUAACAUAUUUCAAGAUUAUAUAGUAUAAUUGACUUUUAAAUAGGCUAAUAGGUCAUAUUAGGCUUUUAAAUAAGUCAGGCCUAGACUUUGAAAUUGUUUUUAAACCGGCUAACAUGUCAGACUCAGGCUCCUAUAUGCUAUAUAGGCUGAAUCUGUUUAAAGCAAAAUCUGACCUGAUUUGGCCUAUCCUUUUUCACCCUUAAAAAUAGAGAAUUUUGAAUCAAGUCCACAUAAAACAAUUGCCAUAGUCCCUUUAUAGUUGUUAUUCCAUCAUUUUGACUAAAUACUAAUGUAAGGAGAAGCCUUUAGUGCACAAAACCAUUAAGCUUGUACUUGUUACUGAUCACCUGUUUCAUCUAAAAUAAAUAACACCUUAUUAUUUUUGUUGUAGAUGAGACGUGAACCAUCAAUCUUCUUUGGUCACAUCCUUCAUCCUAAUCAUCAAACUUUUUUUUUGUUGAUAAGACUUGAAUUCAUAAUCUCCUUCGCUUACAUCCUUUACCUAACUAUCAAACUAUCUUAUAACUUCAUUUUUGUUGUUAUUGAUGAGACUCGAACUCGCAACAUUCUGCAUUAUAUUUCUUAAGUCUUUCAUCCUUACCAUCAUACUAAUUUCAUUUUUAUUAAAAGUUUAAUCAAGAGACCGAUAUUUAGAGUCUGCGGCAGAUGUGAGAGCCCGAGACAAAAGGAAGAAGUUAAAUUGAAUCAGACAAAAUGUAUCAGAAAUAAAAUAAUUGUUCAGUGGGUGCAUGUGCACAGAUCGGAUAAGUCGACCUUUAAAUUGGGUCCAAUUUUGAAGCUAAUGAAAAUGGGAGGUCAUAACAACCAACAUAAUAAUUAAUAAACUGUAGCCAACGAGUAAGUCCCAAUCUGAUAAAAAUAUUUAAUGUGUGAUAAUUCAAUGAACAAAAAGAUAUUCUUCCGGAGGAACUAGUAAUUGGUCAAAUAUAGAGUAUUUUUAAGAAGAUUAGGAAAAAUAUCUUUUAUUUAGAUAGAUUAUUUACAAUUCUCACCUAAAAAUCAUUGUGAAAUAUAUAUGUAUUAUAGUAUAAAAAUUUAUACCCAGUCAAUACACCAUUCACCAUUCACUUAUAUUACUUUAUGAAAAGUCAAUGAUGAUUUAAAACGAAUGAUGAAUGAUACAAUGUGACUGUAUGAACUCAUACACUAUCGGAAUAUACGUUUUUUUCCUCAAAACUCACACCCUAGAGAUUACCAACAAGGCAUUAGGCUUACUGAAAUGUCAAAUGUUUAAUUCAUGUGAGCGACAUUUGUUGGGAGUAACAACCACACACUCUGUGAGAUUAGUUACUUACUCAUAGAUGAUGGAUAUACUCUUAGUUAAUCAUAUGACAAACAAUAAAUCGAAUCAACUCAAUAUUCGUUCGAAACUCGACUUAUUAUUUAGCUUGACAAACUUGAUUCAUAAAUCAAAUGAGCAAAACUUAAGUUGGAAAUUGAACUCCUAAAAUUAACGAGCUGAACUUAAGCUGAAUACAAUUCGACUCGUUAGAUUCGUGAAUUGACUCGAUAUGUAUAUAUUUAUUUAUAUAUAAACUAAUUUAUUAUAUUCAUUGUUAUUAUAUAUGACGCAUGCAUUAUUUUUUAUGUUAAUCGUUCAUUGUUAUUAUAUCAUUCUUAUUAUAACUUUGUGCAUCAUUUUUUAAAAUUGAUUAAUUAUUAGAGUUGUAUGUCCAAAUGAACUAAUUUGAGCCGAGUUAAACAAUUUGUGAACUUUAAUUGAGCCGAAUUUGAAUUGAAAAAAUAACUUGUAUCGAAUUCGAGUCAAAUUUUAAGGUGAGCAAAUCCUGAUCGAGUUGAGCUCUAAUUCGACUCAACUCAUUUUCAGUCACAUCUAUCACUAUCACAAGAAUCUUACAACUCACUUAACCUUAUCUUACAAUAUCAUACUACAUCAUUCCCUAACACACAACUCAUCACACCAUGAUAACAAAGUGGUUAGAAGAAUAAUACAAGAAGUAUAUAAAUCUAACACUUAGGCAUGCGAUGUGACUUCUCACCAGAAAUAUUUUAAUAUGUGAUUUAAUAAUGUUUAAUGGUUGUUAUAUAUUGAUAUGCAAAGUAGUUAAUUGCAUAAGUCUUGCUUGUCUUCACUGAAAUCUUGUUUCAUACUCCAAUGACGUAGUCAACCCAUUAAAAGUUUAUAUCAUUGGUGAUGUUUCUUUUAUUAAGAUAUGGAAAGAAGAUCUUUCAGCAGUAAGGUAGUAAAAAUAUAGCUAUUUAAAAUUCUUAAGAUAUGGAAAGAAGCUCAAGUUGGAUUUCUGAAUUAUAAUAAUUCAUAUGAACUAAAAGGAUGAAGGGUAUUCCCUGUUAAGUUCUUGUUCUCCUCGCCUGCACACCAGCAUCGUGAGAUUAUAGAGAAAGAAAAAAUGUAUAUAUCAACAUGUGUACUGUGUUCUUUUUCAUCAUAGUUGGUAACUUGGUAUACUCAUAGGUAACAAUGUUGUCAACACUCCUAUUUCUUCUAUGCCUUACUCUUCCUAUACUUGUAUUUUUCUUCAUUCACAAUCACAAAAACAAUAAGAACCCACCUAGUCCACCUGGUCCUAGAGGACUUCCCAUAAUUGGAAAUCUUCUUCAACUAGACAAUACUAAACUUCAUCUUCAACUAUGGAACCUCUCAAAGAAAUAUGGUCCUAUAUUUUCGCUUCAACUCGGUUCAAGGCCAGCCCUUGUAAUUUCCUCACCAAAACUAGCCAAAGAGGUUUUGAAAAACCAUGGCCUAGUUUUUUCUGGAAGGCCUUCUUUCCUUGGCCAACAGAAAUUGUCCUAUAAAGGGUUAGAGAUAUUUUUUUCACCAUAUAGUGAUUAUUGGAGAGAAAUAAGAAAAAUUUGUGUUGUUCAUAUCUUUAACUCCAAGCGUGUAACAAGUUUUUCAUCUAUAAGACAAUAUGAGGUUAAGCAAAUGAUAAAAACAAUAUCUAGGCAUGCUUCUUCUUCAAAAGUCACAAACUUGAGUGAGUUAAUGAUUUCUCUUUCAAGCACUAUAAUUUGUAGGGUUGCUCUUGGGAGAAGGUAUGAAGAUGAAGGAACAGAAAAGAGUAGGUUCCAUGGGCUAUUCAAUGAGUUUCAAGCAAUGAUGACAGCUUUUUUUGUAUCAGAUUAUAUACCCUUCAUGGGUUGGAUUGAUAAACUUACAGGGUUGCAUACACGUUUAGAUCGAAUUUUCAAGGAGAUGGAUAAGUUCUACCAAGAAGUCAUUGAUGAACGUGUUGAUCAGAAUAAGCAAUAUAGAGAGGAAGAGGGAGAGGUUAUAGUUGAUGUCUUACUUCAUCUGAAGAAGCAGCGUUUGUUUUCGGUUGAUCUCACUUAUGAUCAUAUCAAAGCAGUGCUCAUGGUAUGAUCUCUUAAUCUAUGAACCACUCAUACCAAUAGUAUUGUAUAUGAAAAGUAGAUACACAUAUUUUUAGAAAAUGAAGGAUACAAUAUGACAUAGGAUACGAAUCUUUAAAAUAUUCAAGUAUUUGUCCUCUCAAUAUUUUAAAUUGCGAUUAUGAUCGUGAUUGUGGUUAUAGUUGUGAUUACUGUAACUCUAGUUGUUGUGAUGCGGCACUUGAAGUAUGAAUUAUUUUAUGAUUUCAAAAUAUUUUUGAAUCUGAUGUAGCCCGAUAUAACUUAAAUGCGGUCUAAUACAGUUGCGCUGCAGCCUGAUAUAGUUAUACAUUAUUGUGAUUUGGAGUCACACUGUAAUUGGUUGCAGUGUGAUGCUAAUUUGGCCGUCACUACAAAAGUUAUAUUGUAGCUGCAUUACAUGAUGCGGUCCACAAUCUGAAUCAUUAAUAACUCUUAAUUAUAUUUUACUUUUCCUAUGCUUUCAUUUUCUUUAGUAAAUACAUAUACACUCUCAAUUUUGCAGCGAUUGUGAAACUCUUUGGUGACCUUGGAGUGAAAUUCAUUGCUCUUUGAGUUCCUAGUAGUUUUUGCUGAGUAUAAUCACUUUACAAAAUCUGUGUUUGUCAAACUAAUUGGUUCUAGAGACUAACUUGCUUCAAAUGGAUGUUAAUGAUUAAACAAAUAUGUUUGCAAUUAACUUCUUUUCUACUCAAUGAUUGUAUAGAUGUAAAUUAUUAAACAAUACUAAUCACAAGUGAUACUAAACUUCUUUCCUUAUAGGAUAUUAUUGUAGCAUCAACAGAUACCACUGCAGCCACAAUAGUAUGGGCCAUGACAGCACUAAUAAAAAACCCAAGAGUAAUGAACAAAGUACAAGAAGAAAUUAGAAAGUUUGAAGGUGAGAAAGAUUUUAUAGAUGAAGAUGAUAUUCAAAAGUUUCCUUAUUUCAAGGCAGUGAUGAAAGAGACAUUGAGAUUGCACCUACCAGCCCCACUACUUGUUCCAAGAGAAGCAAAUGAAAAUUGCAUUAUAAAUGGCUACCAAAUUAAAGCCAAGACAAUAGUUUAUGUGAAUGCUUGGGCUAUUCAUAGGGAUCCUGAGGCUUGGAAAGACCCACAAGAGUUUUAUCCUGAAAGAUUCUUAGACAGUGCUAUAGAUUUUCAAGGACAAGAUUUUGAAUUAAUUCCUUUCGGAGCAGGUCGUAGAGUUUGUCCGGGUUUGCCCAUGGCAAUUCCGGCAUUAGAUCUUAUUCUUGCUAAUCUCCUUUAUUCCUUUAAUUGGGAAUUACCACCUGGAAUUGUAAAGGAAGAUAUCGAUUUGGAAGUAUCGCCUGGACUUACUCAACACAAGAAGAUUCCUCUUUGCCUUUAUGCCAAGAACUAUAUGAGUGUAUAAUCAAUGGAAAAUUUUAGAGUGUAUGAAGAAAAUAUUUGUCAUGAACAAUAGUCUUUGAAUACAUUUGUGAUGUGUCUUGUUAGUGUGCUUUGGAAAAAUAAGUUUCUAGUUCUCAAUGCUAGAAAAUUGUAAGUCAGCAAAGAAUUGUAAACAAUUUACUAAUAUGUAUAGUAAUGCUACCACUACUAGCAUAAGCAAGUGCGUUUAUGAUGGCUGUAAUCAAGUUAUUUUGAAAUGAAUUACUACUUUUUCUAUGCAUAUUGUAUGACAAUAAAAAAUUGUAAAAAAUAUAUUAAUGUGUAUAUUAAUGCUACCGUUCCUAGCAUUAGUUAGUGUAUCUAUGAUGGUUGCAAUAAAGUCAUUUUGAAAUGAAUUAUUACUUUUUCUAUGCAUAUUGAGAUUGAUUUCUCUAUUUAGACAUCAGCAUGGUAUCUGUUUAAUUAUCUAUAUAGCCAUUGUAUUAUUUUUAUUUGGAACAAUAGUAUGAUAUCUGUUUAAUUAUCUAUACUUAAAAUGAUAUUCUAUAAAAUAGGAAAAUUAAUACGAUGUUUAACUUUAUAACAUUAUUGUAAUUUAUAAAUAUAUAUUUUGUAGAUAUCACUCCAUUUUUUAUUCAAAGUCAUAACAUAAUGUUUAUUAUUUUUUUAUUAUAAGUUAUUUUGUAAAAUAAUUUUUAUAUGUGGCUUCUUACCAAGCCAAAGAUCCCAAAAAAGAUAAAAAAAAUAAGGAAAAACGGAUGGCUAUAACGCCUUGUAAGCUCGGCCCAAACACAGUUCUAUUGAAGUUUGGCCGCUCCGGGUUAAAAAGCACGGAUUUAGUAAAAGUUACAAAAUAUAAUAUUCAAGCCCCAUAAAUUUUCGAACUUUGGUGGGUCUGUCCAACCAGGACCGUCCAUUUUGACACUUCUACCUUAAAGUUUCACCAUAUAAUAUGUAAGAUAUUUUUCUUCUCCCUAACUCAUCCUUUUUAAAAAAAUUCACUUUAUCGUUUCAUUUAAGAUAAUCUAGGCACUAAAUUAAUGUGAGCACGUGACUUUAUUUAGAGAAGAGUUAUUAUUUCUCUUGUUUGAGUCUUUUUUUUGCUUCACCCUUGAAUUUUCCAACGUCCCCUUUCUGAUUUAGAAACAUUCCAAUUUUUCUAAAAAAUAACCCCAUUUUAUCUUCAUCAAUAUCAUAUAAAUCUAAACUAUAUUCAUCUUUUACCAAAAAGACUAUAUUCAUCUUGUGGUUCUUCAAACAUUUUCCACUCUCGAUGAUGUUAAUUAAAUGACAAUCUCUUUCUUCUUUCAAUAAGUUUCUUCUCAAGUGAUAGAUGUUUGACUUCCAUUUUAUACUUGUUUAGCUUCAUGAAUAAUGUAACAAUGUGAUGUGAGUCAAAUGGGGGUCACAUUGUGGAGUUUUAUUUAAUAUAGUGUGGGUCUUUUAUCCUACGUGUAGUUUAAGUUAUUUUUAUUAUUUUUAAUAAAUCAUUGUAAUUCUUAUGGAUUGUUGCCUCUUGAGGGAAAGGCAUGGAAUUAUUUAUUUCCAUAUAGAGACCAAGCCGUCUGGUAACUUCCUUUUCGAGAAGGCGCAUGAUUCAAUUUAAUUGCAAGGGAUUGUGACUUGCCAAAUAAGAGAAAAUUCCAAUAAAAUUAAGGCACAUGGUAAGAAAUUAAAAUACAUGAAAUUACCACAUUCUAUAUAUGAUUUGGCAUGUAACUUGCAUUGAGAAGAAGCAAUGAAUGGACAUGGGCAUAUAAGCCAAGUUUAGUGUGAAGAAAAAAAUAAAGAAAAAUAUGACUACUUACCUUAUUUGGAGUCAUGGAGAUAUUCAUGGGAUUCAUUUCAACUCCAUAAGUUAUGGUGAUAUUUGCCUUGUAAAAUCGUUGCCUAUUAUUUCCUUUAAGGGAAUCAAUGAACCAAGACAACCCAUAGGUUUUAUGCGGGAGAAUUAGACAUGUUUAAUGUUUUAAUUUUUUUAGCUUAUUUCGUGGAGCCGUAUUGACUAGCCAUAACCAUAUAUGUAACUGAAUUACAUUGAGAAAUAACUACUUGAAUAUUAUUUAGAUUAAAUCCUUCCAUAUUAGUUGAGUCGUGCUGCUACAAUUAGAACUUAUUAAGGUAUAUUCACUGUGGUGUUCAUAGGGUUAUCACCAUUGGUGUGGCGUCAUACCUUAGUUCUCAUCAAGCAUCCUUGUUUAUGACGAACAACCUUGCUUUAUCAAAUACUUGUCUUUGUGGCGCCUUCAUCUUGUCAAUCUUUACCAUCUUCUCUUUUCCUAAUCAAAAUACAAAUCCAUUUACUCAAACACAACACAUUCAUACACAUUCUCUCUCAAACCAAAAUACACUCAUCACCUAAUUAAGUUCAUACAAAUUUUAAUCAUUAACAAUUUAAAAAUACAAAUAAACCUUCAAUCAAGAAUGAUCGAUAAACAAUCACAACCCCUUCAAGUAGGUUCAUAUCACAAUGGAAAUGGUAAAAAGAUCAUUUGGGUUGUCAAGUCUUAUAAAGAUAUCAGAGAACAUUGUAAAGCAAUUCAUCAUUACUAAGAACAUUACCUAGGAUAGUAAUAAGAUUAAAAAUAUGGGAGAAUUGUUUUUGAAUAUCACUAAUUUUUCAUUUGGUAAUAUGCCAAACAAUUCAUAUUCAUGCAUUAAUGCUUGUAUCCUUGUGUGUAUCUUGAAAAGUGGCCAGCAUAUCCUUAACACUAACACAAUUACAAACUCUAAAAAAUUCAUCAUAAGAUAAUGUAGAAUUAAAAAUUGUUCUUAGCCUCAAUAUUGUUUUGCACUUUCUUUUUCACAUCACUAAUCCAUUGAGAUAUAGAUUAACACAUAGUGACACUAUCAAACAAAUGUUCUAGCGCAAGAGGUCCAUUCUUUGUAGAUUCCCAUAUAUAAACAUCUACAACUUCAUUGAAAAUUUUUGUUCAUGUUUUCCAAUAGGCUUAACCUUCACCAUUGAAGAUUGAUAGUCUAUUAAUUGAAGCACAUUUGCCAUUAGAGCUCACGCCUUUGGAUCUUUGUUAUGAAUUGUGUUAAUUUCUUAAGUUUAGUUGUGAUGUCACUCAUUAGGUAAACAAAGGUUCAACACACACAUAGAAUGAGGUUUUUUGUACUACCAAGGGUAUGAAUUAAUCCCUUUCGAUGUGUGUGGUUGUCCCUUCCAACAAGUGUUGCUCCAAGGAUAAAAACAAUCACUUUAAUGCAACUUAAAUGAUUGAUUAUUGAGCAAUUAACAAUAGUAGUGUUCUUUUAUGUUAAUCAGAUGAGGCCGAAAUCGAGUGUCCGGUUGAGUAACAGAAGUUUGGAGCUCUGAUCGAAAUGUUGUUUGGAUCUGUCAGGGGAAGUACCUGAAAAUGUUCUCCGACAAUCAACUCAAUAUAUGGUUUUAGAGAGAGAUUGAGAGUAAAUAAGAUAGAAGUGAGGGCAGAGUAAUGAAUAUAAGUAAUAAAUAAGGAAUGAUAUAUUAAUGCUACUUCAUGUAUAAGAGUCUCCUAUUUCUAGAGUUUGGAAUGGCUGACGUAGUGUCUAGCCAUUGGCUAUUGUAGGGGUAGGUCGGGUUGUCCUUAACCACCCUGCAGGUUUGCUACUGUCGAUCUGUUGGGGCAAGUAGAACUUGCAGGUGGUGUUACAAGUGGAAUGUCAGCGACAUAUUAAUGGCGAACCAGAUGAGCAUUAAUGGUGAGUCAGAGAUGCAUUAAUGAUGUAUCAAAGAUAUUAAUAACGCUUGUAGUAAGCUUGGCCCAUCCUUGGUGAGUAAAUGACGAGUAUUUAAUAUGGUUGUGCACCCAGAACAAACCCGGAUUUAUCCAGGGUGGAACAAGUACCAUAAAAUCAAUUUGAUUAAGAAUAAUGCUUUAAACUAAAAAAGAAUCUAAUAAUGAUGAUAACACUUGAUAAAUAGAAAGUAAUCAACAAUUAUCCAAUUUAUCAAAAUAAAUGAGAUAGUGGUUGAGAAAAUUUGACACACAGAUUUAUCUUGGAUCAAGCUAACCCACCGACAUUACAUAACCUUAUUGUGAUUUGUGAAUUGUCACUCUACAAAAGCUCCAUUUUUUGUAUACAAGAAAACUUCAAAGAUUGAAUCCUAAUCUUGAUGCUAUUAAUAGCAAAAUGGGAUGGUCCAACCUCUUUAGAUCGAGUUAGGAUCCUCUCCGUUAAUGGAGAGAUAAAUACUUCAAAAAAUAAAAAAAAUACAAUUUUUAAUGACAUAUUUAUCAUUUUAAUUAUAACAAAUUACAAUUUUGUUACUACAAACAAUUGCAAAAAUAUGCACUUGCCUCUCCGUUAAUGGAGAGGAUCAUCAUUCCUUUAUAUCACGCCUCCAAGAUGUCCACAAACAAAAGCAAAUGCAAGCAUGCACAUUUACUACUUUUGACAAAUUUACAUACCCUUGCAUCCAUUUCAAAACGGUCUAAUAGGUUGCCCGUUUGGAUAAAUAAAUAAUAAAAGGGUAAAAAAAAAUCAUAAAACUAGAUAAAAACAAAAGUGAACAAAGAAAAUUAUUUAAUUUAUUUCAUUACUUUGAUAACACGGUAUUUUAUAAUUUAUUUUAUACGCUAUAAUUAAUUGUACGAUUGUUUUUAAUAUAGUUUGUUUGAUUUUAAUAUAAAUUAAAUUUACUCAAGAAGAUAUUAUUUUAGUUGGUAAGUAUUAUUACAUGUUAUUCAAUCACUAAUUAUUAUUAAGCAAUGUUUUGUUUUAAAAUGUAAGAAUAAUUACCAAUUUUGAUCUCUUAUCUUUUUUAACCUUACAAACUUAGUUCCUAAUAAUUUUAAAUUAUAAAUUUAGUUAUUACUAAUUCCAACGUAUAAUCACAUUAGUUCUCGUCCACAUUUGUCAGUUAAACGGUUUGAUUGAUAUGUAACGUUAACUGUUGACAUAGCCAAUUCAUGUUAACUAGUGUAAUACAUUACUGGAUGACAUGUAAUUGUUUCUAACAAUUUAGUUUUAAGUUAAUUAUUUUUUUUAAAACUAAACCCAGAUUUGGUUUCUUCUCCACCCAAAUUUUCUUCUUCCUAGGUUUGAUUUUCUUCUAUCAAUUCCCACAAAACUCACACCCAAUUUUCCUUAUCUCAAUUAUUUUUUCGUCACACAAGAGAGAGAAAAGAGCAACCUAAAUGGGGAACAAAUAAGACAUAAUAGCCUAAGAGAGAGUUCUGUUUAAAUUUCUAUUGCAACUGAAUUUCUCUCCUUUUUUUCUUCUUCUUGUUACUUUUUAGAUUAAAAUAUGGAACUUAGUUUUAUUAUGUGAGAGCGGGAAUCAGAAAUCUUGGUUGAUUGCUAGUGCUCACCCUCUCAAGACGGGUGGAAAAAUUGGAGGGCCAAAGAAGAAAGUCAAAACAAUGUCAUUUAUGGUUUAAUUUAAAACAAUAAAUAAAUCCGACAUCAUUUUGAAAAAUGAUUUUUGUUUGAAAAAAUUAAUGUUAUUCAGUGACGUGUCAUGGAUUGGCCAUGUCAAUAGUUAAUAGUAUAUAUAGGACAAAUUAUUAACAUUAACGGAUAAAUAUAGACAGAAUGAUUAACAUGGUUCUACGCUGAAAUCAUUUAUCACUAAAUUAGUAAUUUAAAAUUAUUAUGGAUUAAGUUAAUAAUGUUAAAAAACAUGAGGGAUCAAAAUUAAUAAUUUCUAAGUGAUAAUUAAGCAAUAUUGUUGAAGUAAUAUAUCAAGUGCAUACCUUUUAUUUAGUAAGGAAUUCUUGUCAAUUUUCUUCCAUAAAUUUUAAAAUGAAACUAUAUAACAUAUACAUAUAUUUUUGAAUUAAUAUAAUAUAAUAAUUAAUAUAUAAAUAAAAAUAUAACAUACUAUAAGUAAUUUAUAGAAAAAAGAGUGGAUAACAAAAUGAAUGUAGCAAGUGAUAUAAAAAUCUUUAAAAUGAAUGGCUUUAAGGCUUUAAUUAAGAUUUGGGGAUAGUGGAACAAAAAUCUUCUAUAUCCACUUUUAUAUAACCUCAUUUUCUUUUCACAAACAAUCACCUCAGAAAAUGUAUAUUCAGGAAUUAUUCUCGCAACCUAUCCUCCACGUGUUCCUCCAAGUGUUAGAAAGUUGAUAGGAUACGUAAGAAUGAAAUAGAAAGGAAUCGUAGAAAGAGUUUAUCUUCAUAUUCCGGUACAAUAAUAUUUCAUUAAAUAAUAUAAAAUAUUAAUUCAUAUUAUAAUUUUCCCCAAUUAAAUAAGACAUUUUGAUUAGUUUGCAACAACGCAGGAAGAACAAUAUGCAUGAUGAUCACCUUUUUUAAUAAUGUCUUAUUUUCUGUCAUAAUUCAAUCAUAUAUUAAUAUGGGAUAAAUAAAAAAUUUAAAAGCAAAAAAUAAUAAAAUAGAACAUUCUGAUUGUAAAUUUAUAUCGGGAAUGGUACAUAUUCAUCCGAUUUAAAUACCCAAAGCUUCUCUUUAUCAUCAUAGUUGGUCAUUGGCAACAAUGGUGUCAAUAGUUCUAUUCCUUCUAUGUCUUACACUUCCUCUACUUAUAUUGUUAUUCUUCCACAAACACAGAUCCAAUAAGAACCCACCUCCUCCACCAGGUCCUAAAGGAUUUCCAAUUAUUGGAAACCUUCUUCAGCUGAAUGACCCUUCCAACCUUCAUCUUCAACUAUGGAAACUCUCAAAAAUAUAUGGUCCCUUCUUUUCUCUUCAACUAGGUUUAAGACCAGCUAUUGUUGUUUCCUCACCUAAACUAGCCAAAGAGAUAAUGAAAACCCAUGACCUUGUUUUUUGUGGAAGACCUUCUUUUCUUGGCCAGAAGAAAUUGUCAUAUAAUAGAAUAGAGGUUAUUUUUUCACCAUACAAUGAUUGUUGGAGAGAGAUAAGAAAAAUUUGUAUCGUCCAUAUCUUUAACUCCAAGCGUGUCUCAUGUUUCUCUUCUAUAAGACAUUAUGAGGUGAAGCAAAUGAUAAAGAAGAUAUCUAGGCAUGUUUCAAAUUCAACAGUCACAAACUUGAGUGAGUUAUUGAUUUCUCUCUCAAGCACUAUAAUAUGCAGGAUUGCUUUUGGUAGAAGUUAUGAAGAUGAAGAAACAGAAAAGAGUAAGUUCCAUGGGAUGUUCAAUGAAGUUCAAGAAAUGUUCGCAGUUUUCUUUGUUUCAGAUUAUAUUCCAUUCAUGGGUUGGAUUGAUAAACUUACGGGAAUGCAUGCACGCCUCAAUCGAAUUUUCAAAGAGAUGGAUAAGUUCUACCAAGAAGUAAUUGAUGAACGCCUAAAGAAGGAGAAUGAUGAUGAGGUUAUUGUUGAUGUCUUACUUCAACUAAAGAAGGAGCGUUCUUUUUCAAUUGAUCUCACUUAUGAUCACAUUAAAGCAAUCCUCAUGGUAUGGUCUCUUAAAACAUUCCUCAUUUAUCAUUUAAUAUGUAUAAGAAAAUGUUUAUUCUUCUUAUCUAUUAAGCAAGCACUGAUAUUUUAUUAAUCUUCACCUAUCCAUAUCGGAUAUGUAUCUAAUAUCAAUACUCACAUCCAUAUCCGUAUUUCACAGCUCCUAAUGUUUACAAAAUUUUACAUGUCAUUUAACUUUUAAUUUUGACUAUAGGUAACAUGAUUUAGCCUUUUUUUGGUUGGACAUGAAUUCUCUGUCCCAGAAUUUUCAAUCCUCAUGUUCUUAUGCAAUCAAACUUCAUAAAAUAAUAUUAAAUUAUUAAUUUCUGUUUUUAUUAAUUUUAUUUUUCAUUGAAUGAAACUUUUUAAUUGACUUGGGACACAAAAUAAGACAUGAAUGAUAACAUUUAAUCCCCAUUCUUUAUUGCUACCCUAUUUUAUUGACCUUAAACCAUGUUUAGUGUUAGUCAUAGGAUGAUUGGUCCGAAAUAAAAUGACUUAGCCUUCUUUGAUUUUCUCUUUCACUCAAAUAAUUAUAUAGAUGUCAAUGGAGUUAUUAAAAAACUACAGACAUCAUUCAUUUUAAAACUUUAGAUAGGUAACUAGAAGUGGAGCAAUAUCUAUAUUUCAGAUUCCUGUAAUGUCUGACAUAUGAAACCAACAAAGAUAUAUAUUGGUAUGCACAAGGAUACUUUAUAUAAAUGGACACACAAAUACUUGAUUUUACUUGUAUUUUUAAUGACAAAAGUAUUAUUCUAUCAUAUAUAUAAAAGGAUAAAAAUGUCUUUAACAUAUUAUAUUUUCCGUUGUUUUUUAUAGUACUUGUCUCUCCAUGAAGGGAAAGAAUUGGUAUGAGUAUAUUUGGCAUAUUUCAAAUAUCUUGGCAGGACAUUCUUGUAGCAGCAACAGACACCACUGCAGCCACAUCAGUGUGGGCUAUGACAGCACUAAUAAAAAACCCAAGAGUGAUGAAGAAAGUUCAAGAAGAAAUUAGGAAAUUAGGAGACAAGAAAGAUUUUAUAGGUGAAGAUGAUAUUACAAAACUUCCUUAUUUGAAGGCAGUGAUAAAAGAGACAUUGAGAUUGCACCUACCAGCACCACUACUUGUGCCAAGAGAAGCAAAUGAAGAUUGCAUUAUAGAUGGAUACCAAAUUAAAGCCAAGACAAUAGUGUAUGUGAAUGCUUGGGCUAUUCAGAGAGAUCCUGGAGUUUGGAAAGACCCUGAAGAAUUUUAUCCCGAAAGAUUCUUAGAAAGUUCUAUAGAUUUUAAGGGACAAGAUUUCGAACUAAUUCCUUUCGGAUCAGGUCGCAGAAUUUGCCCAGGUUUAUCCAUGGCAAUUCCCACAUUGGAACUUAUUAUUGCUAAUCUUCUUUAUUCCUUUGAUUGGGAAUUGCCACAAGGUGAAGAUAUUGAUACUGAAGUGUUGCCUGGAAUUACCCAACACAAGAAGAAUCAUCUUUGUCUUUUUGCCAAAAAUCAUUUCUGAAUGUCAGAAUAAUCAAAAAUGGAGAAUUGAAGUAUUAAGAAAACAAAAGAUAAUUCUAUUUCAUGUAUGGAGCUUUCACCACUACCACAUUACCAUUACUAUUCCCUGCCACUACUAAUAAAAUUAUAAUUAGUAUUUCAAUUUAAGUUUAUUAUAGUUUAUUUAGAUUGAUCUGGUUUGAAAUGAUAUGUUCAUCAAGUAAUGAUUUAUCAUCUUGUACACUACAUUUUGUCAUAUUCUUCUUAAGGUUUUAUUUAGCUUGUUGAAUGAAGAAAAUCAAUGGGUUAAGUUGUUGAAAGAUUAGCAAUGACAUUACAUUUUAUCUUAUCCUUCUCAAGGUUUUAUUUGGCUUGUUGGAUGAGAAAAUCAAAUAAGAUCUCUUGCUUAAAUAUAAAAAAUGACAUACAUUUGACUGAACCCUUGUAGAGGUUUUUUUGGCUCAUUGGAUGAAGGAAUCCAAUGAGUUCUGAAAGAUCAUAAAUUACAUGAAAUUUGACUAGAUCAAUUCUUCUUAGUAUUUUAUUUAUUUCGUUGGAUAAAGAAUUUUGAUGACAUUUGUUUUUAUUGAUGACAAUAUUGUCUAUGAUACUUUCCCUCAAUUAUAAUUUGUAUUGACCUCUGCAUUACUGGAGAGGAGUUAGACUUGGAAUAUAGAACCUAUGAUUUUCACGACUGAAUGAGCUUUGAGUAUGAUUGUAUUCGAAGAUAUGAAAAAAAUGAGUUCUUUCAAACACUCAAUUACACCAUUUCCUUUAUACAUGUAGGCUUCGAUUUGAAGUUGGCACAGACAAAUGGAAAAGGAGGCUGGAAUUGUGUUUAAGCUUUUCUAAAUUAUUCCUUUUAAUAAAAACUUUUUCCUAAGCAAUGAUACAUUGAAGUUUUUUUUUUCUGACCAUCAUUUUGUGUGUAUGAUUCCAUCUCUUUUGUCUACAAAUAGGUUAGAGCAUAAGGUUUGCAUUCACAAUAUCCAUAACGAAUUUAGUUAACACCAAACACUUAUCAAUAAAUGUAUGCCAAUACAAUUUGAACAUAAACAUUGUUUAAUUUCUAAUAAGCAUGAAAUAAUGCAACUGUAUAAACAAGGUAAAAAUAUUUGUGACAUAACAAUAUAUAAUAAUAGCUAUGUAAAUUAAUUCGCAUGUAAAAUAUCACUGAAUUAAACUUUGCAUGUGCAGUAUCUAUGGAUUCUAAGGUCGUUGAUUUGUAUUUAUACAAAUCAAGUGUUUAUGUAAAGAUUUCAAACUUAUGUGAAGUAGCUUUUUCAUCUUUAUAUUGCAUUUGUACAACCAAAAUAGGAAAAGGAAUCGUAUUGAUUAAUUAAGUUGGCACAAACACCAAAAGCAUGUGCCAAAGAAGACAUAUAUGAUAUCAAUCAUUGAAAUUGAUAUUUGGACCUAUAUAGCCAUAACUAUCAUUUUUCUCAAUUUAGAAAAACCAACCCCCUCCGUCUUAGAAUCAACUUUUAUUUAAAGGGAAAAUGAUGUAAACGUAUUGGAACAUAAGCUUCAAUGCAUUAGCAAUUGAAAAAAAGUGGAAAAUAGAAAAUGAUAAAAUGUUUCAAGUCCUACAAUAUGAUGAAGUAGUCAAACCCAAUAUGUUGAUUUUAUUCUAUGUAUGUUGUAUUUUGUAAAUAGAAUAAAGCAAGAUAGUAAGGCUAAUACAUGGCAUUUUAAUUUUACAAAAAAGGUGGAACUAAAGUGAACAAAACAUUGAUUUUUAUACCAAAAAAUUUAUUCAUUUGACCACCGCUCUAACCCUUACAAAAAUAUAGUAGUUUUAUUUAUCUUUUUAGAAGAGGGGAUGAAGUGGAGAUGAGUUAUGAGUAAGGGUGAUAGGACCCAAAUGGAGCACACUAUUAGGCCUAAACGAGUUACAGCUAAACAUAUCUGACAUAAAGAUUACAAAUUCUAGUAAAUAAUUAUGGUUAAAAACAUGUCAAAUAUAUAGGAUAUCACCAAUUGUAUGGUGAAGAUUCAAUAUACUUUAGAUAUUUUCAUCCAUAUUCUCUAUUUGAAGGAUAUAUUGAGUCCUAGAAUGGGCAAUCAAUGAGUGAAUUCUCUUCAACAUAAUUUCGUAAUCCUCUUACAAUUAAUUUAGCCUUAGAUUCUUCUAAAUAUUUGUGAGCCUAACAUUUGGUGCUUUCAUUUCUUCUUCAAUGCCUCCCAAAGCCUCUCAAAAGGAUUCUGAUGAUUCCCUUUCCCAGCUUCUUAUAGACAAACUCAAAAAAAACCAAGAACAAUAGGAUGCUAGACAUGUUGCCAUCACCACUGUCCUCCAUAACAUCAUAGAUAAGCUUAUUGGUAUUCACAUUCUGCCCUCUAUUUCCCGAGAUCCUCACAUAUCACCCAUUCACCCCUCUUCUUCCCAUGUCACUCAUUCUACCACACACCCUUAUGUUUCUUCUACUCAACCACAACCCCCACCAACAUCCCUUCCCAACACAUCCAUGCCAACAUUCCAAACCCCACCCUCACACUCCCUACCGCCACUUUCCACCUUCCCGCAACUACCGUUUUCCCCAUCCCAACCACACCCAUCCAAAUUACAACUCAUUUUGUUUGAUGGAUCUGAGCCCCUUGAUUGAAGUUUUCAAGUUGAACAGAUUUUCAGCUUUAUAUGGUACCACGAGAUCAACGCCUUGGCAUGAUUUUAUUCUAUAUGCACAAAGAGGCCCUUAGCUAGUUCAAAUGUAUGUUCCAUAAUUGUUAGUUGACAAAUUGACAUUCUUUCACUAUGGACAUGCAGACUCGUUUUGGUCCAUCUUCCUUCACUAAUAACCAGGCAUAGCUUUUUAAACUCAAACAACAUAGUACAAUUGCUGAUUACCAACAACAGUUCAAGAAACUAUAUAAUCGAAUUUGGAGGCUCUAUCUAGAAGUCAUCCUCAACUGUUUUAUCUCUAGUUUGUUACCAGAAAUCCGGCAGGAGUUGGCUAUUUAAGGCCCAAAUCCAUUUCUGAAGCAUUGUGCUUAGCUAAAUUAGUGGAUGCUAAGGUAAAAGGCUUUAACCGUGUCCAGGCCAAAACCUCAUGUUUUGGUCCCUAAAAUCAUUAACCCGUAUUUCCCAAAACUACAACUCCAAAUUUCCCUAGCCCAUAACCUCCCAUUCAUAUCCCUUCUAUACCAAUACGUCGCUUAUUCACUGCACAACUACAUGAACGAUGAACCUAGGGACUUUGUUGCAACUAUGAUGAGAAAUUUAUUCAUGGUCACUACUGCCAACCAAAGAAGUUUUUAUUUAUGCUGGAUGAUGAAAAUACAUAUUCAGACACUCUCUUACAUUCCCUUGAAGCUAUUUCUGAGUAUGUUUCUGACCCCAUUAUGGACCUGCAUUUAGAUGAACUCAUUCAUUUUCACAUAUAUGACCAAGCAUUGGACGGUCAUUUCUCACAAAUGAUACUCAAGUUUUAUGGCUCCAUUUAUGGACAUCCUGUGAUUGUUCUUGUUGACAUAGGCAGUUCCCACAACAUAUUGCAACCAGGCAUUGCAACUCACUUGAAACUACCAAUGACACCGACCUCCCAAUUUCCAGUAAUGGUGGGGAAUGGAGCCCAUAUCUAUUGCAGCAGGUUUUGUGAUCAUACACCCAUUACCCUCCAAAAUCAGGAGUAUUUGGUCCCUUUUUACUUAUUUCCUAUUAAAAGGGCAGAUGUUGUCCUAGGUAUUGAAUGGAUUCGAACCCUAAGACCGGUCACAUCCAAAUUUUCACUUCCAUCAAUCAAGUUCACAAUUGGCCAGACUCUAAUCACUCUCACUAUGGAAUUUGGUUCCACACCUCAACCCACCACCCUGCAUCAAUUUAACCGACUACUCCAUACAAAUAGUAUCUAUACCUUUCAUUCAAUUACUAUAUUACCAUCUCACCUAAUAGAACCCUCACACCACAAGUCGAACCCUCAUAACCCUCACCCACAAAUCCAAACAAUUCUACAAACCCACGACUCAGUUUUUCGCACCCCCACUAAUCUACCACCACCAAGAUCCCAUGACCAUUUUACUACCCUCUUGCCUAACUUUGCCCUAGUGAAUAGCAAGCCUUAUCUUUACCCACAUUCCAAGAAAGAAGUUAUGAGUUCUAUGUUGAAUCAGAUGUUGCACACUAGUAUUAUGAUACCUAGUACCAACCCAUUUUAUUCGCAAGUACUCUUGGUGCGAAAAAAAGAUGGAACAUGGAGGUUUUGUAUGGAUUAUCGGGCUUUAAAUUCAAUUACUGUUCAGGACUGGUUUCCGAUACCGACAAUUGACGAGCUCCUGGAUGAGCUCGAAGGUGCUAUGAUUUUUCCAAGAUUGAUUUGCGAUCUGGCUACCAUCAGAUCAUGUGAAUCCAGUGGAUACUCACAAGACAUCAUUUCACACUUUUGAUGGGCAUUAUGAAUUCUUGGUCAUGCCCUUUAGACUUACCAAUGCACCUUCCACUUUUCAGGCGGCCAUGAAAGAUUUUCUUAGGUCUCAUUUACAAUGGUUUGUUAUGGCAUUCUUUGAUAAUAUUAUGGUUUAUAUUGACAAUUUAAAUGAUCAUUUGUUGCAUCUCUUUACUAUUUUGGCCCUAUUAUAGUUUAAUAAAUUGCAUGCAAAGUUUUCUAAAUGCACUUUGGGGUAGAUUUAGUUGAUUAUUUGGGGCAUAUAGUUUCAUCGGAUGGCGUGAAGCCAGAUCCUGAUAAGAUCAAGGCAAAGGUAGAUUGGCCACCGUCUCAAUCACUUACAACAUUAUGUGAUUUUCUAGGACUUACCAGAUUUUAUCGUAAGUUCGUUAAGCACUGCGCCCCUCUCUCCCUUCUGCUCACUAAUUUAUUAAAACUUCAUAAUUUUACAUGGACAUCGGAGGCUCAACUGACCUUUACAAUAUUAAAGAAUGCAAUGACUAAGACAUCAGUACUAAGACUACCAGAUUUCUUAAAGGAUUUUGAUGUUGAGACAAACGCUUCCUCUGUAGAAAUCAAGGUAGUGCUCUCUUAGGAAGGCAAUCAUCUCGCCUUCUUCAACUGAAAGAUGUCCAACCACUUUCAACAUGUUUCUGGCUAUGUCUAGGAGAUGUAUGUUGUAACAAAGGCAUUAAAAAAUGGCAUCAAUACUUGAUAGGUUGUUCAUUCAAAAUAUUAACUUAUCAACAAAACUUUAAACAUUUGAUGACACAUGGCUUACAAACACUAGAACAACAAAAUUGGGCUACCAAUUUGAUUGGGUUUUAAUUUGAGAUUAAAUAUAGAACCGGUACCUCGAAUAGAAUGGUCGAUACCUUGUCUCAUCUUCACUCUGAAGAGCACCCAAUCUAUGCUUCAUUGUCUUCACCAGUUCAAGCCAUAUUGGACCAGCUGCUUGCAUUUUACCUCACACCAGAAGGUAAGAGUUUCAUAAAAAACAGAAACAAAUCUUAACAUGAAAAAUAAUUUCACUUCUCAAAUGGCUUAGUAUUCUAUGAUCACCGGAUAUACAUACCAUAUCUAGGACAACUUCAGAAGUCUUUGAAUUCCAUGACUCACCCACAUCUGACCAUUAUGGACCUAAGCCCACAUUAGCUUGUUUGGAAGCCUCCUAUUAUUGACCUGAUAUCUACAAACAGCCAAAACAAUACAUAUGUUAGUGUUCAGUUUUCUAGUAUAACAAAUAUCUUCUGACUAAAACUAGUGGUUUACUACAACCACUUCGUAUCCCAAAAAAGUAUGGACAUACAUAUCUAUGGAUUUUAUCAUAAACUUACCCAUGUCCCAUGGUCAUUCUGUCAUCUGGGUAGUGGUGGACUGUCUUUCUAAGUAUGCCCACUUCAUGGGGUUCCCCGCUCUAUUGUCUAGGACCGUGAUAAAUUGUUCCUUAGUUCCUUUUGGAAGGAUAUUUUUUGCAUCCAGGGAAUAACCCUAUGUUUUAGUACCGCAUAUCACCCAUAGUCCAAUGGAUAGUCUGAGGUGGUCAAUAGGAGUUUACAAACAUACUUAAGAUGCUUUGCUAACGCUCAACCACACAAAUGGUAGCUUAAAGCCAAACAGAGUAUGAUAGCUCAAUCACAAUCAAGGAGGGCAUAUAUUACAUUUGAGAUUAAUGAUUGGGUCCUUUCGAAGUUUUAGCCAUAUCGACAAGUUACUAUGACACGAUGACAUCUCAUAAGCUGGGACCUUUAUUUUGUCCUUGUCGUGUGGUGCGUCGUAUAUGACUAGUGGCAUACGAUCUUGCACUACCACCAUCAGCUAGGGUUCACACGAUCUUCCACGUCUCGCUUUUCUGGAGAUUCUUUGGUGACCUUGUCAGCCAUUAUGUUCCCUUACCAUCGAGCUAGAAGGAAGACAUAUCAGGAGAAGAAGAGAACCCACACAACAACGAACCAUCUUUUUUUAGAAGGGGAGAGAUUUUGGAACAUGAGAUAGACAUGCAGAGAUUUUCUACCCCGGAUAAUCCGGGUGUUCUUCAACCCGCCUCGGGUAAGGGGGCGGUCCAAACCCACCGAAAGUGCCAUAAAUGCUUCUGACACCCCAUUAAUGUCUCUAGCACCCUAUUAUGUCUUUGGCACCUCAUUAAUGACUUUGGCACCCCAUUAAUGUCUCUAACUCCAUCAUCAAUGCGCCGCACGCCCUAAGUACUGACCAACAUUCCACCUGCUAUGCAACCUGCACACCCACCUGCCCCCGACAACUCGGUAAAUGAUAACCUGCAAGUAGAACAGAGACAAUCCAGCAUAUCCUGUUGUAUCCAGUAGAGGAGACUUUAAAAUGUCCAUGUUUUAUCGUAAACAUUACUGAAGCUGAAUAUAUAACAGCAUGUAGUUGUUGUGCCCAAGUGUUGUGGCCUAAGCAACAAUUACGAUAUUAUAGCUUAGACUUAAGUUGCACUCCUCUAAAAUGUGACAAUGUUAAUGCUAUAAACCUCACAAGGAAACUAGUUAUGCAUUCUAGAACCAAAAACAUAGAUAUAAGACAUCACUUCUUUAGGGAUCAUAUCCAAAAGAAAGAUGUAACUGUGGAAUUCGUUGAUACUCAUAACCAACUAGCAGAUAUUUUCACUAAACCCUUGGCUAAAAAACCUUUUUUAUAAAAUUAGACAUUAUUGAUGAAGCUUACCUAUUUUAACAUGAUUAUAUGAUUAUAUAUAUGCUUCAUUAUGUUUAUCUCAUGCCUACUUGUACUUAAAAGUGCUUAUUUAUGUUUAAAACUUUCAAAUUUUGGGUUAAAAAUCAUUUUAUAGCAUCAGUAUGCUUAACAUAAAAAAUUUUGGGUCAGUAACCGAUUACUCUAAAGAGUGACUGAUUAUAAGGUUAAACAGGGUGUUUUAGUAACUGAUUACGCAAAUACUGUAAUCGAUUACUCAAAAUUGUUGUUUGAAAAUUUUAAAUUUUCUAAUUUGAGUAACCCAUUACUCAAAGCGAGUAAGAGAUUACUCUAUGCAAUUAUAUAUGUGAUUUUUCUGCAUUUUUCAAUUUUUUCAAACUCAUCUUCUUCCUCAACUCGGGCUUAACCCUCUCAAUCCCUAAACUCUUUAUUUUUUAUCCAUUUGGUGAUUUUUGUGUCUAUUCAUAUCAUAUUUUCAACUCUAAACACUUCUACACCAUCAUUUUCAUGGUUAAUGGCUUAAAUCAAAAAACCCCAAAUCUCCAAAAUCUAAAAACUCAAAAACCUCAAUCCAUGGUUUCCUCUUCUAGAUCAAAGAAGCAAUGCACAAAUGUGACUCAAAGGAACCAGGGAACUUCAUCUUUGGAGUCUAACCCUCUGGAUUUAACAAGAAUUCUUGCUAAUGAUGAGCAACGUAAAGUCUUUGAGGAGAACUUUCAUGGUCGAGUCAUCUUUACUCCGAAAUACGGUAAUGUGGGGAAUUUUGAGUUUGAAAAUUUUCUUUUUCCUUAUUUUUUACGGCAAAAAAAAUCUUUUUGACUUUUGCUGUGAAACUAAUGUCAUUUAUCCUAAACUUGUUCGAGUAUUUUAUUGCAACAUGGACUUUUGAAAAUAUCGUCUUACUUCCUAUGUGAAAGGAAAAGACAUUGUUCUGGAUUUGAAAACUUUUAGUCCGUUGUUCUAUAACAUACCCUAUCAAGGUAGCAUAACAGGUUUUGGCCUCAUAUGUGAAUGGGAUAACUAUGAUCGAAAGGAUUUCUAUCAUUCUCUGCGUAGAAUUUCUAAAGAGGAAAUAGAAAUGCGUAAGUAACAGAGCUUUGGUGAGACUAUUAAAAAUAGAGAUAUCUUAUCUGUUGGGCAUCUCAAACUUGAAGAUUGUUUGCUUCAUUAUUUUCUAACCUAUGUCAUUAUACCAAAAUUUUCAAACCAUUCUCAAAUUAGUGACAUAGAACUUCAAUUGAUUUAGGCUAUGAAGUUUAACAUCAAAAUCAAUUAGACUCAGAUGAUAAUGAGACAAAUGUAGAAUGUUUGAGGAACUCGAAGCCCCUUGCCCUAUGCAAUUUUCAUAACCAAUAUUCUUGAACGUUUCGGUGUUUCUACUAAUGGUGAAACCAAGGUCGCUCUAAAUCUUCGUGAAAGCAUGAUUGAUGUGGAAGUUGUCCACAAAAUGGGUUUCUCCAUAGAUCCUCAUGACCAAUGCACCUAUAAACAUCAAUCCGUGGCUUUGGUAGAUUAAUUUCAUUCAACAUAGUACGUGUUAGUUCUUCCAACGAUCUAUUCUUUCUCUCUACAACACCAUUUUGUUUUGAUGCUCUAGGAGCAUAGAAAUUGUGAGUGAUACCAUUAUCAUCAGAAAAUUCCUCAAACGAAGCAUUUUGAAAUUUACUCUCAUGAUCACUUUGAAUAGUAGAUAUUUUCAAGGAUUUUUCAUUUUGUACUCUCUUAGCAUAUUUGCUAAAUGUAUGAAAUGCCUCAUUCUUGUGUACUAAGAGUAGAGUCUAAGUGUAUCUUGAAAAGUCGUCUACUAUCACAAGAGCAUAGUAGUUACCACUAAAAGUUUUGGUCCUAGUAGGGCCAAAUAAGUCCAUGUGUAGUAACUGCAAUGGUCUAUCAGAAGAAACCAUAUGCUUUGGUUUGAAAGAUGUCUUUGUUUGUUUACCCUUUUGACAAGUACUACAUAAUUUGUCUUUAACAAACUUCAUUUUGGGUAAACCAACAACUAAAUCCUUCUUAAUUAGUUUAUUCAAAUGAUUCAGAUAAAUAUGAGCAAUCCUUCAAUGUCAAAGCCCCGCAUCAUGAUUAUUAUUAGCAACUAAACAUUUUAUUGGUAAAGAAGAAUCUAAGUCAAUCAUAAAUAUAUUAUUUAUCCUCUUACCAAUUAGUUUAGAGUUUUUAGAAUCCAUAAUUUCGAUAAUUCACUUAUUAGGAUAGAAUGCCACAUGAAAUCCUUUGUCACAUAGUUAACUUAUGCUCAACAAGUUGUGCUUGAAUCCUUCAACAUACAAUACUCCUUCUAUAUGUAACAUAGCCUUUGUCCCUUGGAGUAUUUUUCCUUCAACAUAAAUAGUCUUUGUCCCUUGGAGUAAGGACAUAGAACUUAUCUUUGUUGUAUGUCAUGUGAUUUGAUCAACCAUUGUCCAAGUACCAUAGAUUGUAGACGGCUCUCAAAUUAUCCUGCAAAAUAGGUUAAGUAGUAUUAGGUAUCCAAUUUUCCUUUGGUCCUACAUGGUUAGCACCUUUCUCAACCCAUCUAUAGUGGCCUAAAGGCACACCAUAUUUUACAAUCAUGCAAGUAUUUGGUAUAUGCCCAUGGUUCUUACACUAAGUACAUAUGGGAUGAUGCUUAUGUAUCCUAGUUUUGUUGUUACUACAAUUAAAUGCAUGAUACUUUGUUUCUGAAAGUUUGUUUUCGUUGAGACAUUUUAUUUCUUAGAAACUUGGUUGUUAGAAUAGCCAAGACCUCUUUGGUCUGUAGAAUGUCUAUGAUCUUUAAUCAUUUUGUCUAAAUUUUUGCUACUCUUUUUUAAUUUAUUAAAUUCAAGACUUAAUGUUGAAAAUUUCUUUUCAAGAGGACUGCAAUUUUGACGUGAAGAAGAUGAUAGUUUAUUUCUGAAUACUUCUAACUCAAUUUUUUGUUUUAAAAACAAUUUAGUGAGUUUGACAUAUUCAUCAUGUGAGUCAUUAAUUGCAAGUUGUAAUUCAGAAGAAGAAAAUAGUUUAGUUUCAUUUACCUUUUCAUCAUCACAGUGGUGAGAUGCCAUUAGUGAGAGAUGAGUUUGUUCUUCAUUUUCUGGUUCAGAGGUAGAACUGAUAUCAUUGUCUUUCUAAGCUAUGUAGGCUCUUCGUCCAGUCCCCAUUUCAUUUUCCCUUUGAAGGAAUUAUAUUUCAGGUUUUGACAUUCCAUCUUCAUGUGACUAGGCUUACCAUAUUCAAAACAUGUGAAGUUUUGGUUUGAUGUGGAGGCAUCAUUAAUCUUGGUGAAUUUCUUCAUUUGUCUAGUUUUAGCGCCUUUGUUCCUUUUAAGGAACUUGGUGAACUUCUUUACCAAAAGACUUAUGUCUUCCAUCUCUUCCUUUUCCGAUUCAUCUCCUGAUAAAUCAUAUCUAUUUGCCUUUGCUUUGAGAGAGAUAUUUUUCUUCUCCUUUUCUUGCUCUUCAUGUUGGUCAAGUUGGAUGAGUUUUAAUUCGUGUUCCUACAAUUUACCAAAUAAAGCAGUCAAGGACAUUUGAUAAACUUUUCUUUUCAGAAAUGGCUAUUACAUUUGGUUUCCAUGUUCUGGUGAGUGAUCUCAGAACUUUUAAGUUCAAGUCACUAUUUGACAUUAUUUUUCCAAGUGCAAUAAGAUGAUUUGUAAGGUAAGUAAAUCUCUUUUGGAGAUCUAGUAUUUUCUCUCUGUGUUUCAUACGGAACAUUUCGUAUUCCUGGGAGAGAGUAUUGAGUCUCGAACUUUUGACUUCCUCAGUUUCUUCGUGUGUAGUCUCUAGAGUAUCCCACAUUUCUUUAGCAGAUUUUCAGUUUGAUACUCUAAAGAAUUCAUCAAUGCCAAGUAUUGAAGUGAGGAUAUUCUUUGCUUUGAGAUUGUAUUGCACCUACUUUUUGUCUUCAUCAUUCCAUGAGGAUUUUGACUUUACUUCCCUUACACCAUUAACAAUGGUGAAAGGUUCAUAAGGUCCUUCCUCAAUCGCAUUCCAAAUAUCCAGAUCUUGAUAUUCUAUAAAGAUUAUCAUCCUUAUUUUCCAGAAGUCAUAGCAUUCUCCAACUAAAACUUGAAGGGCGAUUGAUGUUGGAACCCUCUCCUAGAAAUGAUCUUGAGGCCAUCUUAGAUACAAGAUCAGAUUUGAGAAUAAUUUACUCAAAAUAAGCUUUGGUGCCAAUUGUAAGACUGAGAUGGCAACUAAGAGGGGGGGUGAAUUAAUUGUCUUAAAUCUAUGAUAGAUUUUUCUACAAAUUUCAGAGUUAGUAGUAGCGAAAAAUUUAUGCAAAUAAAUAUCAAGUAAAUUUAAAGAGAUAAGGAAAAAGAGGGUACUCAGAGAGUUUGAUACUGGUUCACCUUCUUGUCCACUGAAGGUUACAUCUAGAACUCUUGCGGUAUAAGAGAUUUCUAAACUAGAUAUUAAGAGUAGCAAUUACAAAUUCUCACCUUGAGAUUUCCUUGUAGCUUACUCACUUUCUAAUACAUAUGUCACUCUUUGGAGAGAAAAAACCUUUCCAAGUGACUCUAUCCCCUUUCUUGUCACACCCUUGUGAUAGAAAGUAUUUCAGUAAAUUGAAUGAAGAAAACAUUAACAAUGGCAAGGAUUGCCUUUACGAGAUUUGAACACUAUGAUUUCUUGAAAUCCGGUAACUCUUUAUACACUUAGUUAUAAUGCCUAGAAGGUUUGAAAAUCUUUGAAACCACACUUAAAUCAACUUCAGAAAAUUUAAUCUGAAAGUUAAGAACAAGUUGCAGAAAGUGCAGAAAAAGUGUUUUCAGAAAAAUUCAGAUUAUGUAUGUGAGUUAUGUGUUUGAAUUAUGAGUUUCAAUACCUUUAAAUAGGCUUUCCAAUCAGCCAUAACACCUCUAUGAAAAGGUAGGAGUCGAUUGAAAUGAAACCAUUCGUUUGGGGUGAAAGCUGUUCAGUUUGAAUCUGAAAAUCUGGUGUAACAACACUCAUUAAUUGAUUACAGCAUCAACGUAAUCGAUUACCCAAAUAUUUUGUCCAAUUGAGUAAUCGAUUACCACACAAUGUAAUUGGUUACUCCCAUAUACUGUAACCGUGUAAUCGGUUACUCAAAAUGAGUAAUCAAUUACCCUAUUCUGUUUUUGUUAGGUAACUUGUUUCUCACUCAUUUAACAUGUUACUUAGUUCUCGUAACCUGUUGCUUAGUCACAUUAACCUGUUACUUAGAUCCGGUAACCUGUUACAUAGUACUUUGAAAAUUGUUUUCAUUUUUACUUGUAGUUUUUCAAUUUUCUUUUAAAAAUAUUUUUGAGCAUUGCUACUAAUUGUAUAUUAUAGAGUAUAAGCAUAGAUGUACCUAUAGACUUAGAGUCUAAAUUCCUUGAAGCUUUAUCUUCAUUGUCUUCAUAAGUAUUCUUUCUUUUUUCUUUAUGUGAUGUUGAUGUCUUCAUCAAAACCGUGUUAAAGUCAGGAGCAAGAUCUUCUUCCCAAAUAACCCUACACACUCUACUCUUUUGAUCUUCAAUGUAAUGCCUAAACUCAUUAAUGAGUAGACCAAGUCAUCCUCAAACUAUCGAAACAAAAAAUUAUGUUAUUAUCAAAAUAGAAAGUUAUUAUUUUUACCAAAAGCAUUAGUAAUGAAUGAAACAAGUAGUAUAUUAUUAUCUAAAGUGAUGAAUGAGGGAAUAGAAAUGAAAAUACAUAAAGGAGAGGGAGGGUGAGAGGAGAGUUAUAGGACAAAGAAGCAUAUAAAUAAAUAUAAAUAUAUUAUUCAAUUAUUAAAUAUAAAUACAUGUACGAAUUUGGCCUAGGCGAGAAAAAAUAUAUGAAACUCGGAAGCCCCAUUGCGGAGUUUCUUAUAAAUUCCACUCUCAUUGACGAUUUCUUAAAAAUUACACUAGUUUGAUAAUUAAUUUAAAAGGUGCAGCAAAACUGUAAUAUUUUAGUGAAGGUGCACCUGUGAUGUAGAUUUGUCGUGAAUAUCUAUACUAUCUUUAUAUUUUUGGGAAUUUUUCACUUGACUCCCUGAUCGUUUUUUUCAUGGUUUCUCUCCCCCUUACUAUUGGUCCUUUUCCCUACAGAUAGGAAGAAAAAGUGGAAUUCAGAAAUUCACAUCAAGCAUAGGAUUCUAGAAAGCAAAGAUUUAUAAACAAGAAUGCAUGUCGAGUAUUGUGGGAACUUGGAAAUUCAAAUGAGGCUCGGGGUCCUAGAAAGUUAUAAUUAAAUGCACAUCAGGCUCGGGUCCUGGAAAGCAAAGAUUAUUAAACAAGAACGUAGUGUUGAGAAUAAUAUUAUUACAAAUAAUUUCUUUCAAAAUACAAUUAAUCAAAUAAUUAUAUGGGUUCCAUAAAAAUUGCUUAAAGGUCUUAUGAACUGCAAAAUCUGCAUAUAUAAUCAACAUAUGAAUAAUUAUCGAUGUGAAAGGAAGUCACAACUAAUAUAAUUCACCACUAUAACAAAAGAGGCACCACCAGAAUGAUCAUCGGUGGGAACAAAAACUAUUGGUAUAAUCACCAUCGGACAUCAGAAUGAUCGUCGAUGGGAAUAGAAGUCAUUACUAAUAUAAUUCUUUAAUUGGAGAAAAAAUGCAUCACCGGAAUGUACAUCGGUGGGAACAAAACACAAUGGUAUAAUCACCAUUAUCAGAAUGAUUAUCAAUGAGAAAAAAUCACUACUAACAUGAUUUGUCAAUGUGAGAAAAUGCAUCACCUAAAUGAUCGUCAGUGGGAAGAGAACUCAGAGGUAUAAUUACCAUCGAAAUAAUCGUCGACAAAAAAGAAAUCACCACUAACAUAAUUCGUGAGUGGGAGAAAAAAGGACCCACCAAAUGAUCAUUGGUGGGAAGACAACUCAGUGGUAUAAUCACCAUUGUAAUGAUCUUUGAUAGGAAAAUAAGGUAGUGCUCAUAUAAUUUAUCACUUAGAAAUAAGAUAUCAACAAAAUAAUCAUCAAUCGGAGGAGAAACCAAUAAAUAUAAAAUGAAGAAAAUGUAUUUUUGUAUUGGAGCAUGUUGCUAUUUAUUUAUUUGGUGUCUUUUACUUUAAAUUUGGAAUUAUUAUAUUGAAGAAAAAAAUGAAUAAAUAAUAACGAGAAAGUGAUGGAACAAAGGAAUAUGAUAAAUUGAAGUUCCAAAGUUCCGACAUCUCGUCAAUGAGAUAGUGACUGGACAAAUCACAGAGGAUAAAAAUGCUCUAAUACUAUAUAGGAAUUUAGAAUUUGUGAAGAUUGGUCAAACUCAAAUAUAAGUGGUCCAAGUAAAUUAUUAUACAGGCAGAAGUUAUUGCAAACCACAAGAUGAUAAACUCAAAACAAUAACUAAUAGGAUAAACAUAAACUAAAAAUAAAUUCAAAUAAAGUAAGACUAACUAAAUCUUAAAUAAAAUAAUUCUCUAUUAAUCCAAAUAUAUCUAAAAUAACUGAAUACUCUUCAAUCAAUCAUUACUUCAUUUAGAGAAAUUAUAAUGAAGAUAUUAGCUUCAGUAAAGGAAGAUCAAAUAGGAAGACGAGGCAUAUAAUUAAAUAGUUAUCAUGAUUCUUCUUACAAUAAUAUAAAUAAAAUCAAGAUUGACAAAGGAAGCUAAAUAUAUAUUCUUGCUGCUAAGCACAGCCGAUGUACAUUAAAAACACUUAAAAUAACAAAGGGUGUUUUUUGUUUUGUUUUUUAUAAUCACUACUCGUUACAGUCUAUAAGUUUCUAUAGUCAAGUGCUGUGAAAACUAAACAUUUCACCCUAGAAUCAGAACCCUUGUCUCCAUUCAUGUUUUUACUUUUCAAUAUUCUAAACUUCACGUCUAAGCAAUUUUGCAUGCUAUUAAAGUAGGGUUGAUACAUUGUUGCUUAGUUGUGAUGUGGAGGAUGUGUCUUCGGUGGUGCAUAGUCCAAGUUAAAUUGAGGAUGCUCCUCAAGAGGUUUCUUGUGUUGCACAUGCAUAGAAACUGUGACAAGAGAUUCAGUUUUUAAAGCAACUGAAGCUUCUACCGUAGAUUUCACCACCUUCUGGCUUGUGUUUCCAUGAUCUUUUGGUUUCUCAGAAUAAUCAACCAACUGAGUCUCUAUCUUGCUAUUACUUUCAUUAAGCUGCUUUGGAUAGGAAUCAAAUACACUUUUCUCACCACUCUGCAUAAAAUGAAAGCUUUAUGAGACACAUACAUAACAUAAAUGGGUGUGUGCAGUCAUAAUAUAAAUUAUAUCUACCGUCUAAAAAACAUUUACAAUGGAUAAUCCCUUUUAUUUAGGUAUGACUCUUGAACAUGAUUUAAUAUAGAGUCUUAUGAUAUCAUUCGAUCCAUGUAACCUACCUCCUCAUUUAGGGGAAUGAAAGUCUAGUUGUUGUUAUAUAACUCUAAAUAUAAUGAAUAACUAGGGAUAUGAAUAUAUUUAAACAAGUUUUGAUAAUUGUAGUUGGACAAACCUUGAGAGAGAAGUGGUAUUUCAUUUCUAGCUUCUUAUCUACAGUGCUGAGAGGCCUAGCAUCACAUGCAUGCAAUGAAAUGCAAAGAAAAAACAGAAGAAGGGAUAUGAUAUUUGACAUGAUAAUAGAAAGAAAGUUGAAACUUUAGUGAAGGUAGAAAAAGUAUUUGUAGUAAGAAGGAAAGAAAUGUGCAUUUAAUGCAAUGACUUAAAGAAGAGUAAGAUGUUCUGUUCCAGAACAUGGAGUUGUAAGGAGUGAAAGAAGUAAUGAGGGAAAUUGAGGAUAUGGUAGCCUCCUCUCUUUUGUCCCUAGCUUCCUUCUGACAUUUCAAGCUGUUGGGUCCCAACUGAGAAGAAAAUAGAAGCAAUAACACUAAUCCUUCUCUCACUAUAUAUAAAAUGAUUUAUGAAUAGAAAUCAGAAAAAUUAAUAUGAUUAUUGAAUCUUAUUGAACAAGAACAAUAACAAACAUAUAAGCCCCAGAUUUAUUAUACUUCCAAUUUUUGUAUAAGAAUUGCUCUUAUUUGAGUGAGCUCCUAUAUAUGGAACGAUUCAUGUGAGAACAGUUAAACAGUCAAGCAAUAUUAAAAGAUUAUACAUAUCAUUUUUAAAUGAUCAUAGGACAAAUAAUUAACUUUUAAUCAUAUUCAUCUGUGAUUGAUGGUAAUGUUCAGUUUUAUUAUUCUCACUUAGACCGCUUCAUCUAUACAUAUAUAGUGAGGAUUUACUUACUCUUCAUCUUAGCCAUCAAUUUUAUAAACAUCUAAUCGUUUAGAUCUAUUCACUAAUUUAAACCAUUAAAUUUCCUUUGAAUUGAUUGUUAGGAUGAAGAGUAAGUAUAAAAAACUUACUUUUGAAGUAAGUGGAUCCCUCCCCGUAUAUAUUCAUAUAAAAAAGUACUCUACAAAAUAGAUAUAUUUUAACCAUGGUAUUCCUCCCCAACAGUCAAAAGAUUAUCAACUUCCAAAAGUGAAAAUUGUGGUAGUCCAACAAAAUAUUUUAUUUACACAAUAGAAAUCAUGAAAAACUAGUUUAGAUCCUUGUUGGUUAUAGAGAUUUUACUUCUGUAAAAUGUCAUUAAACAUAUCAUAGCGGAUACGUAAAGUGAAACAUGAACCAAAAAUCAAGAGUGUCCUUGCCCCCCGAAUUGGUUUGUUCAAGGAACUUUUCAUUCACUGUCUUUUUCUUCAGGAUUCUUGAUCAAUAUUUUAAUGGCUUGUGCCCCUUGUUUCUUGCUUUUUUGCCUUUCUUUUUUUCCUCCUUUGGACUAUACGAUAUUAUACUUGUAUAAAGUAGUAACACUUUUUAGAUCAUUAGUCAUUUAAACACUUGAACAAUUUCACAUUGGCUUCUUAAAACAUUUGUUGCCGAUCAUAAGAAAGAAGAACUAUGAUCAAAGUCAACAUUAUACUCUUCUAUGUACUUUUAGUAUAAAGUUUUAUAUACAGUUUAUAUAUUUUUUAUCAUUUAUUUAUAUUAUUUUUAUGCAUUGUCAAUAUAAUGAUAAAUAAUAUAGUGACAAUGUAUUACUUUUAUGCAUUCAUUUUUUCUCUAGUACAAAAAGGUUGUGAACAUAUAAUUGUUAGCAAGAACUAGAAAUACAGUAUACUUUGGUUUAGCUUGAGAAUGAUAACUAAUUAAGAUGGGGGAUCAGCUAUAAUUUGUGUCACCCUAUCAUAUAAUAUACAAUAUAUUAGUAAACUUAACUUCCUUUUUCUUUGAUUUUGGUAUAAAUAAUUUUUGUUAAGAUUGGAUUAUAACUGUUUAGCUUUUAGGCACUGAAUCUUGUGAGCUAGACCUUUCAGGUGAUGUUAACUUUGGACAUUAUUUGGGAUGAUGACAAUAGGAGGAAUGAUAUGAAACUAAAUGGCAAAACUAAAUAAUAAGGUUCUUGAGAGUUGCUUUAAGGAAGUGAGUGGAUUAACAAUGGAGUGCUAGAAAUCUCUAGCUUGUAAUAUAUAAUAUGUUUGUGCGUUGAUUUUUAAGAGCUCUCUCAAGCUUUUUCAUAUUUCCUAAAGUUCUCUUUUCAUUAUUUCCCCUCAAAAACCAACUCAUAAGAGAAUGAAGGAAAAUAAUCAUGAGAUAAAUUUAUUUUAUGGCUCCACAUUUUUCUUUUCUUCCAUUAUCUUCUAAAAACUAACUUUCAAAUCAGUUAUUCUCUAACUUUUUUUCCUGAUUAAUUUUGGGUUAAGGAAUGAAUAAUAAGAAUUCAUGACUAUUUUCCUUUCAUUCAUUACAUCAAGACUUUCUCUAUUUCAUCAUUUUUUAAACUGUUUUUAUAGAUCAUUUUUUAUUUUUUAAACAUAUCCUUAGUGAGGAUGGUUGUUUCUAGCCUUCAGCUAUUUAAUUUAAUUCUUUUUACUUUAUAGUGGUAAAAGGUGUCGAAUAGAAAAUAUGAAUUUGGUUAUAAAAAAUUGGCAAGAAAACAAAAGAAAAAGUUGGCAUAUUAUAUUAUAAAAAUAAGAGGUUUUUCAAAAUAAAUACUAGUUAUUCACUUUAUAUAAUUUGUUUUUUUAUUAUGUUACACGAUGGAUUGAAUAUGCUAGCUAUUGAGGGUGAAAUAUUUGGCUUAUAUAAAUAUAAAAUUUUGAUAAAUGAUUUUGUUCAUAAAGUACUAAAAGAAUAAAAUAAUAUAAAAAACUAUUUAAUAAUAGUAGACAACAUCCAAGUUAGAUGUUACCUAACAACAGGAAUUUUCUAUUUUAUUGUCUAAGACAAUAUUAAUUAUUUGUUUAUCAAUUAUACUUUUAUCCUCAUUAUUUUGCAUAGUAAAAAAUAAAAGUGUGGUUAAGUGAAUAAAAGAAUUGAGAAAGAUAUAAUAGAAAAGAUAAUAAUAAUCUUAUUGAAAACAAAAAAUUUAUUGAGUUUCUUGGUUUGCAUAAAAAUAAAUUAAGACCGGAGUAAUAAAGACAUUAACCACUGUUUUUUAUACUACUAAUAGUAUCUUCUUAUAAGAAACUAAUUUUUUUGAAAAUGUGUGAUUGUCCCUCCCAAAAAUCGAACUAUUAUUUUUUGAUUAUCCUAAAUAUAUACUUGUGUAAGAUCAAAAUGUUGAUGGUACAUUAAUAACUGUUUAUCACUUAAGCAUAUCCAUAAAUUAUUUAUUUGUAUAGGAUCCUGGAUCCCCAAUUCCCCAUUUAUUUAAAGUUGUUGGGAGAUAAAUUUUGGUAAGUGCGAAACUUGGGUAAAUUAAAUAUAAACCCUGAGGAAAUUAAGUAUUGAAAGUUUUGAUAAACAAGACAGAUUUCAUGAAUCCAGGAAAGAAUGUUUGAUGACAAUAACAAUAUAUUUUCUUUUGCCAAUAAAAUCGGUCUUCCUUCAGCAACUGCAGCAGCUUUCGACCUUACCAUUUUCGAUAGUUACGUUCCUUCACAAACACUCUAAAUGCCACGAAUCUAAAAUAGACGUACAGCUGAAUAUUAAAGAAGAAUGUUUAACUAAUGCAAUAUCUUUUCCAUUCAUUAUUCAUUAAACUUCUCUAACAAUAUUAAGUAAAAUUUUAAAAUCAAAUUAGAUUGAGGCCCUUGAUCGUACCCCUGAAGGUGAAGGAUAAAAUAAGACUCUUAAUAAUUUUUUUGUAUAAUAUUUAUGCAUUAUCAAUCCAAAUAUUUAUAUAUGGUUAUCAAAUUAUUUAUUAUUCAUUUGGAUUAUUUUUUCUAAACAUCAUUGGUUAUUUGAAAUAUAAUUUGAUUAUUUUAAGGAUUGAUUUAGUUGUUCAAUCAUACUUGAAUUGAAUAAGAUGGGAAGGAUAUGACUUAAAUUCAUAAUCCGGCCAAUCUAAUUAUGAACCAAUCAAUCUGAUUCAGUUUUCGAAAAAAUAAAUUGUUAAAGUUUGUGAUAAGAAAUCAAAGUUAUUUCUUUGUUUGUAAUAAAAAGUUUAGUAGAGAUUUACGGAUAACUUAAUAAUCAAGGUUCAUUGCAAAAACUACACUCAAACCUCUUUGCCCACUAUUUCAUCAUAUGGAUGAAUGAGUUAAAUUUUUUAUACAAUUAAGUAUAUUUUCUGGUCUCAUCCUAUAGGUAAGUAAUAAUAAAUUCAUUUAUAAUGUAUACUUAUAUCUUGAUGAUUUGACUUUAUACCUAAUAUUGCUGCUUGAAGAUCCGGACCAAAUUGUUAUUCAUAAAACUUCCCUCAACCUUAAAUGGUAGCUAGGUGAAUAAUCAUUUUAUUUCAAAUGCAUAAUGUAUUAAACUUUAUCUGACCCCUUCCUUUCAUUGUGGAGAAAAUGUAGUAGCAUAUAAAUAAACUUAUACAAAUUAAAAAAUUAAUAUUUAUACAUCUUCCGUAAAUUAUAUGAUCAACUUCUCAUUCACCACUCAUAAAUUUUAUUUUAUUUUACAAUUAAUAAUAAUUAACACAUGAAAUCAAUUACAUUUUACACUGUUAUAAAAACUUUUACAUUUUUAGUAUAUGUUCUUUAGUGUUCAUCGGUGGAAGUACCUGAAAAGGUUCUCCAACACUCAAGUCAGUAUGAGUUUAAGGAAGAUUGGUGGAGAAUAAAUGAGAAUAGAUAGGAGUAAAUGCUAGAAAUGAAUGAGAGAGUUAAUAUGCUUAUGAGUGUGAGUGGAGUAUUUAUGAUAUAGGAGAAUAUGAAUACUUCAUAUAAGGGGAGACCCGUUAUUUAUAGUAAAUGUUAUGGCGACAUGACAUCUAUCUAGUGGUUGAUGGCGACUUGGCAUGUAUCUAGUGGUCGGGUGGGUCACAUCCUCGUCGGAUGAGAUGUCUGAUUUGACUGGGAUAUAAUAGUUGCCCCUAGUCUGUUCGCAUGCUCGGCAAUCGAUCGUGUUGGCAUACUCUCUUUGUCUUUGGGUGACCUUGGGUGUCAUAGGGUAUGGUUGAUUUGAAGAAAAAUAAUCAUCGGAAGGGAAGUAUUACGUUGCCCAGUCAUAUUAACUUGUUUCCCUACAAGUAGUCGGUUGGCUGGGAUGAUGACCUGGCCUCCAACCAUGCAACCAGAUAGACCAGCCCAUCCGGGAAAAAUUAGGUGGUCGGAAGGUUGAUGUGGCACUUGCCUUUCGGGUGACGUGGCAGAGUAUGUCAAAGGUAUGUUGAUGAGAUUCGAAUUGUGUUGGUGAUUUGGUGAUAGAUGGCAUGUGUGGGAGUUAUUGCUAUGUUUUACUGGUGGUUGACACGCGGAGGCCAGAGCCACCAUUUGUAUGAGGAAUCCGAACGUCAAAGGUCAUGAGUCAUGAUGACUUGUUUCUCCUUUGCCACCUAUCUGAGUUUUAUGAUUCCUAGGGUUGGGCCUUACAAGGGUCCCCAGUCCCACUCCCCUUAUAAAUAUGGGGUUCCUCCUUCAUUUUCGCUUCACUUUGUUUUCUCGGAAUUUUUGAAGUUCCUUGCAAUUUGCUGCUACCAGGCUACCUUCUUUGUUGAAUCCUAAUCUUGGAUCCUUUCAGUCUUACUUACUCGGUAAUUCUCUCUUUCUCCCCUUUUUCCUACUACUUUUAAUAUUAUACUUGUAUGGAUCCUCGUUCCGAGCAUGACUCAUUUCUCUUUUGUCGUUACUAGGUAACUUGAGGAGGGGAAGGGUCGAAUGAAUUCACACACUUUGGACUAAGCAACUUUUCUCGAGAAGUGGUGGUCGAUCCUAGAUGGGAUAUUCAGAUCAAAUUCUGACAAUUUCUCUCGUGAUAGGUUGACAAUGGUGAGAAAUUUCACCGACCGAGCCGAUCUGUUUACAAUCCCGGAGGCAUUGAUCUGUCCGGAUUCAGAAUAUUGGUGGGUGGACCGUGUGGUGUUGGAAUCCUCGGUUCCUACACGGGCACGACCAAGACAAACGUGGAUGUCUUAGUCAAACCGGCCAACGACAUUUGUUGGUAUGCCCUAGGAGCUUAUGAUAGAGUAUGCCAAGACCUCUUGGCUGAGACGGGGAAUAGAUGGAGCUUCUACAUGUAUGAGUACAUUACUCGUAGGAUCGGGGUGAAGAUACCCCUUGACGAAUAGUAUGUUGUCGUCCUGAUGCAUCUCCACAUAGCGCCAUCUCAACUACAUCUGAAUGCUUAGGAGUAUAUCCAAGCUUUCAAGAUCUUCUACGACGUGAUGAAGUUGCCUUGCACCAUCAGUCUAUUCUUUUGGAUGGUCCGGGUAGCGCACAACACUAACAAGGACGAGAACCAGUAUAGUCGUCGGGAGUGGACGUAACUCCAAUCAGGGAACAAAAACACCCUCUUUCAUCCAUUUUAGGGAUCGGUAAAAAAAAUUGGAAGGUCGGUUUUUACCAAGUAGAGGCCCGAGGGAGCUGUCACACAUGGGCCUAUGGGCCAGAUGGGAAAAUCUCAUUUCCUUUCUCUAGGACGGUGGGAUCCAUCAUAAGCUAGCUCCCAAGUUUAGUUAUGCUAUUGAAGACUUGGAUGUCUAGGAGGCAUCUGCUGCCAAGGAGAUGUUGGACUAGGUGGAGACCAAUAGGACCUUAGAAUGUUAUGCCAUGGAAAAGGGGAUUUUGUUUUUGAGGGGUUGGUCGGUAAGUUUCUUGUCCAGGAUACCGAGUUUAACUUAGUUUUGUAUUUUUAUAAUGUGUGCUUGACCUGCUUUUGUCGAUUUCUACAGCAGCUAAGAUGGGUGAAGGAUUUGACUGGAGCAAGUUGUUGAAGUGUUUGGUGCUUCCAAGCGGGCACGGACAAGCUCGUCGACUCUUUCCACUGGACACCAUGGGGAAGGAACCGCCUCCCGUCGAGAACUAGAGAUCGUUCUUCAUUCCGAGCUUUGUUCGGGGUAGAGAGUUCAAAUUGACAAACUAAGUCGUCGACCUGACGUGGCGGUCAACCCCGUCGAUGCUUAUUUAGUUGGGUUCUUAGUUGUGUCCAUGGAUGAGGAGGAAGCUACCUCAGCUCGCUCUGGAGGAAUCGGAUGCCAACCUGAUGAAUCCAGACAUGAGGGUGAUGAUGGACAACGUGCAUUUGCCCAAGUUGCUGAAGCGAUUAAGGUUGACCAGGAUUAUGGUUGCCUCGGUUUCCAGGUACUUUGAGACCGAGGGCGUGAUGGAUGCCCAGAUGGGGGAUGAGACCCUCUCCAAUAUUUAGGAGCAGCAUUCAGCGGAGCUCCAAGAGUUGAAAGAGCAAUAUGUGGAAGCCAUGAAGUCCCUGGAAUGUUAGACUUUGACUGCUGGGGACGAGCUUUCGAAGAUGAAUUCUCAAUUGAAAGAUGUCCGGGAGGCUGCCCAUGUUGCCCUUGAAAACAUGAGCAUGGUUGAGCAAGAAUUGACCGUCUAGACUGAGUGGCUUAAGUGGUCUAAGACCGAGAAGCUACAACUUGCUGAGUUGGUGAAAUUAUCGAUGGUGCGGGAGGAGUCUCCUUAGGCAGAGAUUGACUGUGUGGGUUGAGAGGUUACUCGCCUUCUAGAGGAGCGGAAGUAGUUGGAGGUUGGAGCUAACGAUGUUGCUCAUGCUGGGUGGGACAAUACUUGGGCUCAGGUCGGCUAUUGUAUCCAGACUAGGAUUAGUCUUGGACACCCUUGAAUGCUCGAGUGACCAGUGAUGGGGAGCUGGUUGUUGAGGAGGAUGAGAUCCUAGUAAAUCUAUUGGUGUCGGGCAAAGAUGGGGAGGGGGCUUGAAGGGCCUUUUGCUUGUUAUUUUUUUUUAUCUUGUUGUAAUUACAUUUCAAUGUAAUAGAAGUAGGAACUGUAUUUGCCAUAUUGGCUUUUUGAAUUAAUGAAAAUGUCCAUACUUCCUUAUAUCUUUGUUUGUAUCGAAUAGACAUUUUUUUCUCUUUUAAUAUUUGCAAGUGAUUGAUAAUCAGGUCAUACUUCGGAAGUGUUUUGAUAAGGUAAAUAAGGACUCUCAAGCUAACCCAGAUUUGGCGAUUAACGUUAAUUGGGUGCCUAUCACUUGUUUGACCUAAGGCGCUUGUUGUCUCAUAUUGCGAAAUAAUUGAAUCCUUAUUUAAGAAACCAAGUAAAAUUUGUCUAGAUUUAGGUGUAGAAAGCGAAUAUAGUAGCUAAAUGCACAAUCGUGAGAUGAAGUAACUAAAGACCGCCAUCUAGAGUAAGCCAAGGCUUGUGGGGGUCGUUGGUUGGGCAUGCCUAGGGGGAGUGGUCCACUCCUGGAUGUUUAUGUAAUAGGCCAUCGUCAAAGUAGGAUGAGGUUUAUGCCUUUGAGGGGCUUUUAUGGAUACCGCCAGGGGGAACUAGGUCCUCGUCCUGGGGUGUUUUAUAUGUUAGGCUGCUGUCAAAGUAGAACGAGGUCCACGCCUUUGAGGGGCUUCUAUGGAUAUCAGCCAAGGGGAACUAGGUCUUUGCCGUGGGGUGUUUAUGUGUUAGGCUGCCGUCAAAGUAGGAUGAGGUCCACACCUUUGAGGGGCUUUUCUAGACACCAACCAGGGUGAACUAGGUCCUUGUCCUGGGGUGUUUAUGUGUUAGGUUGCCGUCAAAAUAGCACGAGGUCUAUGCCUUUGAGGGGCUUUUAUAGAUAAAAGCUAUGGGGAAUUGGGUCCUCAUCUUGGAGUUUUUAUGUGUUAAGUUGUCGUUAGAGUAGGAUGACAUCCACGCCUUUAGGGGCUUUCUAGAUAUCGGCCAGGGGGAACAAGGUCCAUGCCCUAGGGUGUUUAUGUGUUAGGUCAUCAUCAAAGUAGGAUGAGGUCCACACCUUUCUAGGGCUUUUCUGGAUACCGGCCAAGGGGAACUACGUCCUCGUCCUAGAGUGUUUAUGUGUUAGGCUUCCGUCAAAGUAAGACGAAGUCCACGCCUUUGAGGGACUUUUCUGGAUAUUGGCCAAGGGGAAUUGGUCCUCAUCCUAGGGUGUUUAUGUGGUAGGCCGAAAGUGGUGAAUUCUUUUGUUAUUCAAAAAGGAGAUUAUGAAUAAUAUAUCAUCAAUAUAUAUGAGUUUGUGUUUACAUAGGAUUCCCUGGCCGAUUUUAGGGUCGACAUUACAUUUCAUUGUGCUAUGAAUAAAAAACUCGAAAAUGUGCAUAAUUCCAUGAUCGGGGUAUUUCCUUUUCGUUCAUUUCUGUCAGUUUGUAUGCUCCUCUCUCAAUUUUAUCUAAUAUUUAGUAUGGACCUCUCGAGUUUGGUUCUAGCUUUCCUUUGGCCUUUCCGAUGUCGGCUCUCAGAAGAACCAAAUUGUCAGGUGUGAACUCCCUCUAGACCAUAGAGAAAUUGUAUUUAUCAGCGGUUGGUCUUUUGACAAUCGCUUCUCUUAUUCAGGCAUGGCCUCGUUUUUAUUCAAUCCAGUAUAAGUUGUGUCGUAAAAGAGUGGAGUUGGCGGCUUCAUCAAAGUGCAAUUUCCACCAAGUGGGUUCCACGAUUACUAUCGGGAUCAUUGCCUCAACACCAUAUGUGAGAUUGAAUGGUGAUUCUCCAGUAGUAGAGUGAGGGGUUGUUCUUUAGGCCCAAAGAACAUGGUGUAGUUGAUCGGGCCAAGCGCCCUUGGUCUCAUCUAACCUUUUCUUGAUCCCUUUUAGAAUGACUUUGUUGACCGCCUCAACCUGCCUAUUUGUCUGUGCAUGCUCCACUAAGGUGAAAUGUUGCUUGAUAUGUAACCUGAAUAAUAAUUCUCCAGACUUUUGAUCCGAGAAUUGGGUACCAUUAUCAGUUAUGAUGGCAGUCGGGAUCUCGAAUCGAGUGAUGAUAUUGCGCCAUGUGAACUUUUGGAUGUUAGUCGAGGUGAUGGUUGACAAUGCCUCAACUUCUAUCCAUUUGGCGAAAUAGUCCACCGCAAUGGUUAAGAACUUAAGUUGCCCGACUGUUGUCGGGAAGGGUCCCAGAAUAUCCAUGUCUCGUCUACAGAAUGGCCAAGGGGUCAUGGUAGUAGUCAACUCUUUAGGCGGACCAUUGUGAAAGUCAGCGAACAACUGACAUGGUGAGCACCUUUUGGUUAACUAAGGCGUUCUUCUUGGUGGUAGGCUAAUAAUAACCUUCCCGCAAUACCUUUUUUCCAGAGAGGCCACCCAAAUGGUGGCGGCAACUUUCUUCAUGGACCUAUUAGAGCACAUAUUGCGCCCUAUCGAGGCCGAUGCAUUUGAGUAAUGCAACAUAAAAACCCCCAACGAUAUAAUAAGCCAUGCAUUAACAUGUACCAGGAGCUAUGUUAGAGGAAUCUUUGCUUUUCUUUUUGGUCAGCUCAGAGAUCACCAUUUAACAAAUACCAGAUAAUAGGGUCAGCCCAAUCGUCUGGGAUGGCUACUUUUUCAAUGGUCAUGAUGAUGGAUUUCAAAUCGGUCCAUUGGAUUACCGACCUGUUGCUCCUUGGGCUUUUGGUGUUGGUUAGUUUGGAGAGUAUGUUUGCUCAGACAUUAUGUUCCCUUGGGACAUGCUGGAUGGAGGCUUCAUCAAACUUAACCAUUAGUUCUUUGACCUUAGCCAAGUAUUUACACAACAAUGUGUCCUUCAUUUGGUAAGCACCAGUUAUCUGUGAAACGACCAACUAGGAAUUGCUACAAAUAGCUACCUUUUCUGCGCCGGCAUCUCUAGGCAAUUGCAAACUAGUUAUGAAUGCUUCAUACUCAGCUUGAUUGUUUGAAGUGAUGAAGGUGAAUGUCAAUGAGUGUUCAAUAGUCAUGUUGUGACCAUUAUCUAGCAAGAUUCCAGCUCCACUACCUUUGGGAUUGAAUGACUCGUCCAUAUAGAUUGUCCAUGUUUGCCCUGAAUUAUCCGACUGGGUGGUAAGCUUGGCAAAAAAAUCUGAAAGGACUUGACUUUUGAUGGUUGUUCUAGGCUUGUACCAGAUGUCAAAUUGUGAAAGCUCAAUGGACCAAGAGAUCAUCCGUCCAGCCAACUCUGGUUUGUGCAGGAUAUCUCGUAUGGGGUGAUUGGUUUUUACUACCAUAGGGUGAGAUUGAAAGUAUUGUCGUGACCAUCUUUUUGCCACCAAGAGGGUGUAAGCUACAUUCUCUAAUUAUUUUAUAUUUGAGCUCUAGGCCUUGUAAUGUUUUUCUAGUAAAAUAGACUGGGUUUUGGCCUUCUUCGUGUUCUUGGAUUAGAGCAGUUGUCAUAGUCUAAUUAGUUACGGCGAGGUAAAUGUAUAGUGUCUCGUCGGGCUCCGGUUUUGUUAGAACCGGGGGGUAGCUAGCUAUUGCUUGAAAACUUGGAAGGCCUUUUCACAAUCAGCUGACCAUUCAAACUUUUUGCUUUCCUUGAGUAGCUGAAAAAGUGGCAAAGAAUGCCUAGCAGUUGCAGGAAGAAAUAUGGAUAGAGCUGGCAACCGCCUAUUCAAUUGUUGGACCUCCUUUAUUGAGCGAGGACUCCACAUAUCUAUGACGACCUGACAUUUUUUAGGAUUUGCUUGUAUACAUCAGCUGGUUAGCAAGAAGUCGAGUGAUUUACUGGCCUCCACCCCAAAGGUGCAUUUUUUUCGAGUUGAGCCAUAUGUUUUAUUUGUGCAGUCGUUUGAAUAUAUUAUCAAGAAUUGAGACAUGAUCCUACGCAAGAAGGCUUUUGGUGAUCAUGUCAUCCAUAUAUUUUUCAUGUGUUGUCUGAUCUGGUCUUUAAAUUCUCUAUUCAUCAUUCUUUAAUAUGUGGCCCUUGCAUUCUUCAACCUAAACAGCAUGACAGCGUAGCAGUAAGCUACCUUUGGUGUGAUGAAGGCUGUUUUAUCUUGAUCUAGUGAGUACAUGGGGAUUUGAUUGUAAUCCGAAUAAGCAUCCAUGAACGAUAGAUACUUGUAACAUGAGGAGUUUUCUACCAUAUGAUCAAUGUUUGGAAGAGGAUAUGGAUCCUUUGGACACACCUUGUUUAAGUUUGUGUAGUAGACACACAUCCUCCACUUCCCGGAUGUCUUUUUCACUAGUACCAUAUUUUCCAACCAAGUGGUGUAAGUUAUUUCUCGAAUGAAGUUGGCCUCAAGGAGUUCAGAGACCUUGUGGGUAACCUCUACUAUUCUCUUAGCACCCAUUUUUCUUCUUUUUUGCACGACCAGCUUGGCUCUGGGUGAGUGUUUAAUCAGUAGCAGAUGAUUGAAGGGUCAAUCUCUCGCAUGUCAGCAGCGGACCAAGAAAAUAGGUCCUUGUUGGCAAUUAAAGAUUCGACAGCCUGGACCUUUGAGCUUCAAAGAGGGUAUUAUCGAUGUAAAUCAAAUUUUCUUUCUUUGGGUCGAGUUGUAGGAAAGGUUUUUCUCCUUCCAGUUGUAGCCGAAAUUCCCCUUCAUCUGCUUAGGCGUCUAAUUCAACUAAGUGAACACCCUUUUUCCAUUUGGUUGGGGGCGGUCCUUUCCUUGUGGGUUGACUAGGUCGUAGACUCAGAUGGUAACAACUAUUAGCACUAUGUUGAUCCUUUUUUACUAUGCACACCCAAAAAUCGGAGGAUAGGAAUUUCAUACACAUGUGUGGUGUGGAGACCACUACUUCAACUCGAUUCAACAUUGGUCGACCAAGAAUUGUAUUCUAGGCAGACUUGCAAUCAAUGACUAAGAACUUAGCCUGAAUUGUUCAUGUUGAAGAUUUUUUGCUAAUCAUCAACCAGACAUCCACGUAUCCACGUGGGGUAAUGUCUUGACCAGUGAAGCUUACCAAGUGGCCAUUAUAUGGUAACAGGUCUCGGUCAUUCAGCUCCAUUUUUUCAAACAGAUCCUGAAACAUGAUGUCUACUGAACUUUCAGGGUCGACGAAAAGUUUUCCGACUUUCUUCUUAUUCAGUUUAGUUGUAAUGACUAGGCGAUCUUCAUGGCCUCAGACGACACCUUCAUAAUCAUGUUCGUCAAAUGAUAUAGGGGUGCAACCCUAUUUUCGCCUUGCUGGUGGGUAUUUCUGGCACUGGCUUGCAUUACUUCUCUGACAUAUAUCUUUUGGGUCGCCCUCCGGAAAUAUUAUUAAUAUCAAUCGGGCUCCUCUAUCACCGGUUUUGGAUCGAUACGUGUCUACCUGAUCCUUGUUUGGAGGAUGUUCCUGUUGAUUACGUGGAGGGGAGCGUCUUCUAGAGAGGAUGGGUCGACGUGUUGAUGGUGACCGUCCUUGUUGGGUUACCAUGGUGAUGAAAUAUUGCAAAUGGCCAACCUGCGUCAGGUCCUCAAUUGUGUCAUGGAGCUCGAUAAAGUCCUUUGUUGUGUGUCCAAAUAGACUGUGAAAGUCACAAUGCUUAGACCGAUCCUAGGGCCUCGCUUUCCUACUUGGAUUGGGCUUGGACAGUUGGACGAGAUGAAUGGCCAUGACUUCUUGCAAGAUUCUGGAACGGCUGACAUUAAGGGGAGUGGACGAGAUGGGUGCCACUAGAUUGAUCAAUGUUGUUUGGGUGGGUCAAGUGUUUAGGUAAGGGUGAGGACAUAAUUGUCUCAGUGAAGAGAUGCUUGGCCAGCGAGGAAUUAUAGUCGGAUGGAUGGUUUGUUCAUGUAGUUUUUGAAUGUAUGGGGGCUGUGAGUAUAGAUCGAGAUUCUUCAGCAGAAUCGUCAUAAUGCUCAUCGACAACUAGCCAUGAAUGCCUGUUGCUGGAUUCAGAUUUUUGUUACGGAGUUCGACUAGUAGUUGGACUUGUUGUUGGAUGAUUUGGCCUUGAGUUUGGAUCAUUUGGAGAAGUUGUUGGGUAGUGGGUGGUUAUGGGACAAGGUUGCGAGGGUGGCUUUGGGUAGCUUGUUGGGAUGGUUGUAUUUGUGCUAGAGGAUCGAUGGAUGGAGUGUGGUGAUUGGAAGGCAUGUUUAUGGUAACUGGUUCUACUUGACUGAGGGGUUGUGCUUGAUUUCAGGUGGUCACCAUGGUGUAGGUAAGCCACAGAUGGUGCCAAUGUUCUUUAGUGUUGGUCGGAUAUGGCCGGAAUGGGGGAUCCGGUUGAGUAGCUUGCUUCUAGAGACUGGCUGGGAUGAGGCUUGGACCCGUUGGUGGAGGUACCUAAAAGGGUUCUCUGAUGCUCAAGUUAGUAUGGGUUUAAGGAAGAUUGGUGGAGAAUGAAUGAGAGUAAAUGUUAGCAAUGAAUGAGAGAGUUAAUAUGUUUAUAAGUGUGAGUGAAGUAUUUAUGAUGUAGGAGAAUAUGAGAAUAUGAAUACUUCCUAUUAGGGGACACCCCUUAUUUAUAGUAAAUGCUAUAGCGACGUGACAUCUAUCUAGUGGCUAAUGGCGACUUGGCAAUAUGCAUUGUAAAGGCUUAGCAUGUCUCUCUCUGUCGCGUAGUAGGUUUGUCUCUGAUUGCGUUUGUCAGAGGGGACAGGUUGGAGUUGCAAGCGGCGUGAUAGAGCUCAAUUUGGAAGACAUUGAAUGAGGUGUCAAGAGCUAUGAUAUUUGACGUGAGGUGAUGCAAGCCUCCAAUUUGGACUUUUCUGGCUUAGGGAAAUAGACUGACUUUUUCAGGGGGCGUGACAGAACUCAAUUGUGGGAUGCAUUUAAUGAAGUGUCAGCAGCAUUUAUGAAGCUUAUACUAGGAUGACGUAAGAAUCUGGUCUAUAUCUACUUGUGCUUUGUUUGGUCAAGUGGGUCCCAUCCUAGUCAGACGAGAUGUCCCAUUUGAUCGGGAUGAAAGAGUACAUAAACUAUUUUUAUAAUUAAAACAGAAAGUACGAGAAAUGGGAAUAAAAUUAUUUAUUAGAAUAAAGGUUGUAAAUCUUAAGAAUCCAAUUUUUUGGGAUUAAGAUUAGGGGUGUAAAAAUUUGGUUCGGUUCGGUUUUUGGUACAUUUUAGUGACCGAACCGAUCAAAAACAUAUGGUUCGGUUCCGCUCAAUUAACCUCAACUUUAACUAUAAGAACCGAACCGAACCGCUCUUGAAUGGUUCGGUUCGGUUCGGUUCCAUGGUUUUUACAUUUAAUUUUUAUAAAAAAAAUAUUUCAUCAAUUGAAAAAUCAAAAUGUAUUACAAGAGAUAUUGUUUAUCAUAAAAGGAUAAACAUUACUACUAUUAUUAUAAAAAAUUAUGAAUCAUAUAUAACAAUACACUUCAUGAUUAGUAACAUAUAUAUCAAUUAGUAAAAUAUAUAAUAGUUACAUUUAUAACCUUACAUUUCAUAAUUAGUAACACAUGUAACAAUACAUGUAUAACAAUAUAUGAUAUAUGUUGGUUUCAAACUCAAUAUCACAAAAGAUGGAAAAUAUGUUCCAAAUGAUAAGACAUUAUGAAACAAUUUAGUAACUAAUAACAUAUAUAAUACUAACUUAAUAACAAUUUAGUAACAUAUGUAACACUACAAUUCACACAAAAAUUGAUAAUUUAAGCUAGAAAAUUGGUUGAAGAAUUUGAACAAUAAUAAAAUAUUAUUUUUUGAUCCCUAGUAUAUAUUUCUUUAAUACGCGGUUCGGUUCGGUUCUAACGGUUCCUAAAUUUCUAAAACCAUAAACCGAACCGAACAUAAACGGUUCCUUAAAAAAAUAACCGAACCGAACUGCGAAACCGAACCGAACCACAUUUUGCGGUUUGGUUUGGUUCGGUUACAUCGGUUUCGCGGUUUAAACCGGAACCGCUCACACUCCUAAUUAAGAUUAUAUAAAAGAUAAGUAUAACAAGAACCUUUUAUUUAUAUAUAUAUAAUUCACCGGAUAUAAAAUUGUUACAUCAUCCCCAUUACAUAUUAAACUCCUUUUUAAGCAUUUCGGUGUUUUAAAACACGGAUUGGACCAAGUGGAACGAACUUUAAGAUAGGGGACAGAAAGACAUGGGAGCAUGGUCUCACCGUUCCUCUAUCAAGGGCACAAAUGAAUGUCCCAACCGUCAAUACCGGCCAAAAAGGACAGGUGGCACUUUUCAAUCAAAAAUAGGGAAACUUUGCAGCCGCCAAAUAUCCAGUAUUGAAGGUUGGCGGUGCAUCCAUCUUCUCUUCUUGCUCAUUCCCCACUUUUGUUAGUCAAAAUUUGGACAUUUUUGUUUAAAACAUUUCUAACAGAUAUUGGCUAACUAAGAAAUUUGUAUUGGAAAAUAAUGUCUAACUAGCAUAUCAAAUAAGAAUAGAUAUUCACAUUCUUUUAUGUUAAUCAGAUAUACUCGAAAUCAAUUGUUCGGUUGAGUAAUAGAAGUUAAUAGUCUUGGUCGGAAUGCAGUUUGGACCUGCCGGAAGAGAUACCUGAAAAGGUUCUCCAACGAUCAAGUUAGUAUGUGACUUUAGAGAGAGUGAAAGUAAAUAAGAGAGACGUGAAAGCAUGGAGUAAUAAACACAAGUAGUAAAUUAGGUAAUGGGAUAGUAAUUAUAUUUCAUGUGUGAGAACCUCCUAGCUAUUUAUAGAGUUUAGAAUGGUUGACGUGACAUCUAACCAUUGGUUGUUUAUAAUUCAACACGUAUGGUAGGAGUAUGGUAAGCGUAUAUUAGGCGUAUGCUUGGCAUACAUCAAGAUGUCUUUAACCACCAUGCAGGCUUGUUACUGUCGAUCUGUUGGGGUCAGGUAGAACUUGCAGAUGGUAUGGCAAGUGGAAUGUUGACGACGCAUUAAUGACGAGUCAGAUGCGCAUUAAUGAUAAGUCAGUGUCAUUAAUGACACAUAUAGUAAGCUCAGCUUAGACUUAAUCAAUAAAUGGGGAAUGCUUAGUAUAGUUAUGUUCCGGUAUGAGCAUGGAAUAACUCGGAUUUAACCGGGGUGGAACAAGAAUAAAUAUUCAUUUUUUUAUCUCUCCCAAUUUUUUAUUUAUUAAUUUGAUAGAUGUAAAAUUAAAAAACUUAAAAUGAUUCUCAUAAAUAUUGGUCAAAUAAUUAUUUUAAAUAUUUUUAUUGCUAAUUCUUGUGACAAUUUAGUCCUUGUUAUAGACUAUUUUGUCCAAUAUAUUCCUGAUCUUUGAGUUUUUUUAUUUAUUUUUUAUUAAUCAAAUUGAUGCAUGUAAAAGUUUUUAAGAAUCAAGACCUGUAUUCACUCAUGUAAAGAUUAAAUUUGGUUUUCUAUUAUUAACUUAAUUUUUUAAAGUCAUUUAGUUAACAAAAACUAAAUGCAACUUAUAGCUUUUGAGAACUGAGUAUAAAAUGUUAUUAUAAGUAGCUUUUAAGAAGAAGUUAUCAAUAACUUAUCUAAAUUUUACCUUUUAAAUUUGUAGCAAACAAUCUUAUAUACCAUUAAAUACUUAAUUAAAUAUUUAAAUAAAAAAUAAAUGAAUAAAAAUAUAUAUUAAUAAAUAUAAGAUUACAUGUCCAUAUUUAACUACAUUUAGUUAGAUCUCCAUUUAAUUUUUUCGAACAAUUCUAAUUAAAUCACCUAGUCAAUGGUAAGCUUUUAAGUACCAUCUCAAUUCUCAAAGAUUUUAGCUACCUUCAUAUUUAUAACCUACAAGCUAGCUAAGUAUAUGUUACAAGUUAGUUUUUUUUUUAACAAACCCAAAUCUAUAUAUAAAAUCAGCAUUAGAAAUUUAGAGGAUUUUGUUAUCCUUAAUAGAUAAUUAAGUUCCAUAAAAAGAAACUGAUACUUAAUUGUUAAUUGUUAACAAAUAUUUAUUUUAAUAAAAAAGUAUUAAAUUUAUUUUUUUAUUUAUAAUCUUACCACUUUGACUUAUUAUCUUGGCCAAGGUUGAGAAAUAAUCUUAUUUAUCGCUUCAACAAUGGUUUUGUAUACGAGGGAUCUAAAUUUAAUGGUCAAUUCUUACCAUUUCCAAGGUUCAACAGUGCUGCAUGUGAGGGAUCUAACAAGUUCCAUUUGAUGUUGAAGAUGAAGAUGAGAGGAGGAAAAGCUAGAGAAUUGUUGGAAAGGAGGAAUACAUUAUUGGAAGUAUUUUAGGACAACGGUCGUAUUUAUCAGGUUUGUUACCCACGAUUUAGUCGUGCCUCCUAACAUGGGUCAUGGAUCGUCGGUUAUGUUGUCCUAAAAUACUUUUAAUAUAAAUAUUUAUGUGGAAAAUAUAGAGGUUGAUGGAAAAGGAACAUGCAACAAGAUCACAAUAUGUGGAUGAAAAUUAACAAAAAUUAUGGUGGAAGAACUAAAUUAACAAAUAGUGGAAACAUAGAGGAUUAAAUUGACUAUUAUGGUCGAGGAUUAAAUUGAGGCCUGAAAAAAUAAAGAGGAAUAUAAUGAGCCUAUGCAAGAGUGUUCCUCAACCGACAUUUUAAUUCCUUACUAGCAUCGAGAGUAUCACUAUGAAUGUGCCUUUAACAAUAUGGAUUUGUUUCACAAAAUAUGUUAUUUUAUGUAUCACUUCAUUUGAUUGUUAAAAAAUUAUAUUUAAUUUAAGUAUUUAAUAAUUAAGUGUUUUUUACCCAUCACAUCAAAUGACACUAUAAUAAUACACUUUAUAAAAUAGAAAAUGCAUUCUCACCUUGUUGAUAUCAAAAGAAUAUUUUAGUUGUUAAAGUAAAUUGGUAUGCAUAUUAUAAAUCACAAUGACCCUCCAGUUAUAAAUAUUUACUUUAUCCUCCAACACAUUUAUGCUGUGUUUGGUUGAGGAAAGAAAAUAAGAAGAGAAACAUAUGAGAGAGAUUUUAAAGAGAAAAAUGUAAGAAGAUAAGUAUAUUUUUAUAUUGUUUGGUAUGAGAUAAAUGAAGAACAAAGAGAAGAUAAUAGAUAAUGAUAUUAUAUUUUAAAAGACAAAACUAUCAUUAAAUAAUAAAGAAUAAAUAAGUGUUAUAUCUAACAUUAUUAUAUUAAUAAUGGUUAAAAUUGUUAUUUUCCACAAAUUUUACUCUAUUCCUUCACUUUCUUCUUAUCUUUAGGGAAAAUUAUUUUGACAUGUCCCACAUCUUUUUUAUCUAAUCCACCUCUUCUUUCUCCUCAUCCAAACGGGGAAAACCCAUUUUCUCUCCUACUUCUCUCCCUCCAUCUUCUUUCCUCUCUUUCUCACUCAAACCAAAGGAAGACUUAGCAGGAUUUUUGAAGACCCAUAUCGAUAUUUAAACUAAUAUAUCAUAAAUUUGUAAUUCAAUUAAACAAAUCAUUAUCAACAUGAUCUAACAUAAUAUAUAGUUGAAUCUCUUUAGCAUGACGUCACAUGUUACAUUCUUAGCAUGUGUAUACAAAAGAUUUUGUUUAGGGUAGGAAUGGCAAGGAAACAUGAUAGACACGAGUAAUGCAUACUUGAUUACCUAUACUUAUAUAUGUACUAUUCAUGAGUAGCAAGCAUUUGCGGAUAUCCAAUGGAUUUUUAUUUUUAAUUACAUCUUUAUAUAUUUUGUGAUAAUUAAUAUAUAAAAAUAAUUAUUACUUCAAUAAUAUAAUAGGUAAAUGAUAAUUUUAUAUUUAUAGUUUAAUCAAUAAAGUUUAUUAUAAAAUUAUCUUAAAGUAGAAAAAUAUAAUUUUAAAAUAAUAAUAAUAAUAAAUAUAUAUACAUAUAAUAUUUAAUUAAAAUAUAUGUUUUUAAAUAUAUAAGUACUCAUAUACCGGAUAUCAUGAUAUGUAUUCUCACUUUCAUAAUUGAAAGAUUAUAUAUUCACUUCCAUAAUCUCUAUUGGUGACGAAAAGGUGAGGGAAAACUAAACAAGUUAUAUAUAUAUAUAUAUAUAUAAAAGAUCCAAAUCAACUCACACAUUUAAUUUAAUCAAAUAGUCUUUAUGAUCUUUAGAAAAAAUUGAGAGAAUGUACGAAUAACCGCUAUAACCAUCUCAGCAAGAAUUUAUCCAUUUUGGAAUUAUUAUAGACAAAUAAGAUUUUAUUAUAUAUUCACGUUGAAGAAAGUAAGAUAAAGGAACAAAACCGACAUCAUACAUUAAUUGUGAAUCAACCACAUACUUUAUCUACAUGGAUGCAUGUUUAAUGGGCUCAACCCAACAUAUGAGGCCCAGAGUUAGAAGUCAUGACCUUCCUCCUGAAAAGAAAAAUUGUAGAUAAAAUUAAUCUAUUUUUCCCCUUAUUUUAAGGAUAUCUAUCCUAUUUCUGAUUCUCCUCCACGAAACUUUUUCCUAGAUUGAUGAAAAUCAUAUAUCCUUCAUAAUACAAUGGAAAGUCUUGGUUUGAUUUGCAUACCUUAAACCAAACAUAUUGAUAAUAACAUUUUCAAAUUAAUAGUUUCCUUAACUCUCUAGGCACAAAUAAGAAAUAAGAUGAUUUGAAAUGAAUAUGGCUUGAUAAAAAAAGCUGAGAUUUUUGUGUUAUUCACUACUAGUAUUGGCAAUUAGGGUUGCUCUACUCCCCAUGCUUAUAUCCACACAACAACCGUCUAAAUUAUGGUGGGCAUAGUCAUGCCUAUUUUUAAAUAGGAUAUGAAAUAUCAUGUUAUGUCCGCACUAAACAUGAGCGUGGUAGACUUACGUGUCGCCCUAAACAAAACAAAAAAUAUAUAUACAAAUUUAUAUACACUUCAUACAAAAUAAAUAAUAUAUAUUUUACAUAAAAUAUACAAAUAUAUUUAUCAUAAUAAGUAAUCAUACAAAUGAAACAAUACAUACAAAAUAUAAAUGUAAUAUAUAAUACAAAAUAUGCAUAGUACAUAAUUUACAUACAAAAUACAAAAAGAAUAGUACAUAUGCAUAUAUAUAAUAUACAAAAUACAAAUGCAUAUACAUAAUAAGAAAUUGAUAGUAUUUUCUCACAUUUGAACAAAUGCAUAUAUAACAAAUGCAACAAAUUUUCCCACAUUUAACAAAAUACAGAUACUUUUACAUAUUUGAUGUUCAACACAUUAUCUAAUAAUGUCCACGGGCUACCCGUUUUUCCCGUAAAAAAUGUUUGGGGGCGAAUGAGGCAUGUUGGACGGACAUUUUAGAGCGAAUGGACACAUUUUUCAUGCCCUAUCCGCCUAAUAAGUGAGGGUUGGCCCAACGCGCUUUGCCCAAAUUGCCAAUGAAGUUCACUACAUUUAAAUGAUUCUAAUUAUAAAAAAAACUCACCUCUCUUUGUUAAGAAUCAAGAGCAGAAAGAGAAUAUGAAUUUUAUUCAUUGAAAGAAUUGAAUUAAUUACAUGAUAUUGAAUUGAGUUGAGUUGAUUAGAAAAGCUACAAUGAAGAGCUUAUAUAGAAGGAAUAAAAUUAAUCAUCCUAAAAUCUAAAAACUAACAAAAGUUCAAUACAAAACUAAUCUAAAUCAAAAAUUAUAUUUCAACACUGAUAAUCAAUUAAUCAUUUUGUUAAUCGACUAUCCAUUAUAGAAUUACAAUUAUUUUAACAUUCUCGCAUAAACUGGAAUAUAUCAUACAUUUUAAACUUGAAAUGAUUGUAUUGAACACGAUAUAUACUUUGAUACCUCAUCUUGCUGGUGAGCGAAUCUUCAUCUCUUUGUCUUGAAAUCAUAAUGUGAAGCAGCUCUCACGCUUAAUGACCAUAGGCAGAAACAACUUCAUACAAAGCUUAACUAUUUAUUUUGAUAGAAGCUUAACCAAUCAAACCAACCAUAAUGGAUGAAAGAGAGAAAAUAAAUGAAUCUUAAUCUUGAUCCUAAAAUGUUGUUUUAAUGAGGAAAAAUUACACACUAUAGAAAAUUGUUGUAUGUUUAAUGAGAGGGGUAAAGUGUUAGAUAUUUUGUGAUGAUUGGUGAAAUAUCAAUCCUAGGAUCUUGAAUCUCAAGAUUCUCACACAUAAUAUAAAACAAGGAUACAAAGUCAUACAUGAAUUCAUGUUCUCAUAUAUACUCCUUUGAUAUACCUUUUGAGAGAGAAUUUUGGUAUGAUAGUCUUUCUCAACCAAAUCUUGAAUUCUUUUUUGGACCUUCGUUUUCUCUCUAACGGGGAGAGGUGCAAACUAUUUGUGAUUUGGUGUCUUGGGGACCAUAAUCGUUCCUUAUGCAUUAACUUAUAAAGUUCUCAUUAUCCACUAUAGGCCAACUGUUUGGGUAUCCACUCAUUAGGCUCAUAUCCGUUAUCUGUUUUAGAAAUAUACAUUAGACUUCCUACUGCAGAUGCAUAAGGAAUCUUUUGCAUCUUGUAUUUUUUAAGGUCAUUUUUUGGCACUGUUCGAGACAAAACCUGUCUCCCUUAGCUAUAGGGGUAUCCAUUGGUUUACUUUCUUUCAUGCAUAAUCUAUUAGGACUUUAUCUAUAUAGAUUUCUUGUGACAACCUUAGGAUAUCUUGAGAGUGAUCUCUUAGUAUAUGAAAAACUAAUACUUGAGGGAGAACCUCAUUGUUGUCUUGUUCAAGAAUUUUGUUAGGAACAAUAUUCUAAACAUUAUCUUCUAUUACCGAAGUUCUUCCUUGAAUGGUAAUAUGCACAAAAACUUGUUCACCAAUAAUGACAGGUUUUUCCUCAAAGACAACAUUAUUUAUGUUCUUUUCCUCCCAAAAGAAGUUUCUCCAAGAUCUUUCAUUUCGAAAUACUUCAUUAGAAAUCUCUUGGUCUCAUGCAAUAGUCUUAUAUCACUGCUCACAAGCAAUAUAUCAUCGACAUAUAAUACCAGAAAUAGGAAUUUACUCUCACUGAACCUGUGGUACACGCAAUCGUCAACUUUAUACGCCUCAGAACCAUAAGAGAUAAUAACUUGAUGGAACUUGUGAUUCCAUUGACAAGAAGCUUGUUUAAGACGAUAGAUGGAUUUCUUUAUUUUGCACACCAUAUACUUUGAGUCAAUUGAUACAAAGUUUUCUGGUUGCACCAUAUAGAUUGUUUCUUUAAUGUCACCAUUUAGAAGCGCGGUCUUAACAUCCAUUUGAUAUAUCUCUUAAUCAAAAUAAGCUACUAGUACCAAUAUUAUUCAAAACGAAUACUUCGAAGAUAAUGAAGAGAAUGUUUCUUUAUAAUCAAUGCAUUUUUUCUGAGUGUAACCUUUAGCAACUAGACGAGUUUUAUAUCUGUCAAUAUUACUCUUUGAAACCCUCUUGGUUUUAUAUUUCCAUUUGCAACAAAUAGGUUUCGCACCUUUAGAUAAUUCGAUUAGAUCUCAAAUGUCAUUAUCAUGCAUAGACUUCAUCUCGUCCUUCAUGGCAUCUAUCCACUUUUGAGAGUUAGAACUUUUCAUGACUUGACAAAAGUUUAAUGGAUCAUCUUCUAUUAACCCGACGUCAUCCUCAUAUUCUUGAAAAAAUACAAUAUAAUCCUAAUGAAUUAUAUUUCUCCGCUCUCUAGUGGAUCUCCUUAAUGACACUUCUACUUCUUGAGAUUGUUGAAUUUCGUCUAUAGGUACCCGAGGGAGAACCUCAUUGUUGUCUUGUUCUAGAAUAUUGUCAGGAACAAUAUUCUGAACAUUAUCUUCUAUUACCAAAGUUAUUCCUUGAAUGGUAAUAGGUACAAGAACUUGUUCACCAUUAGUGACAGAUUCUUCCUCAAAAGCUACAUUCCUUAUGUUCUCUAUCUUCCCAAAAUCAACUUCCUCAAGAAAUCUUGCAUUUCCCGUCUUGAAAUGGUUGGUAUCUAAGCUAAGUCAAUUUAGGAUAUCGGUGUGAAUUCCGUUCUUCCCGGUUCAACUAUAUGAUCCUAACUUAUAAAUAAAAUAAUAAAAAGAAAGAAAUUAAUUUUUAUAAAAGAUACAAAAUAAAAAUACUUCGGAAUUGAUCUCAUCCCUUAAAAAUUUUAAUUUUUAAUUGUUGAGUAAUAACUUAAUUAUUCAAUAGAAUACUCUCUUUUAUAAUUAUGAAUACCCUCCCCCUUUUUUUCUUUCUUAUAUCCCUAUUCAUCGAGAUUUAAUUCAUGCCAUAAUUCAGAAACUAAUGUUUAAUUAUUUUUCGUAAUCGAAGAAGCUGGGGGGUCACUUUUUCCUUUUUUCCUAUUGUUCUUUUUUUGCAAGUAAAAUAAAGGGGACUUCAAAAAAUUAAAGGAUUAUUUCGUUCCUGAUAGUCAUUUAUUUAAUCAGUGGAUAGGAGGAUACUCUGGAUCGGAAUUGUAGGGCGUACUGUCUGAUUUUUUCUACCAACUUAAAGCCCAAAUUAAUAUUCUUUUUCGAUUAUGCGUAAAAGUUCUUUUUGAUAAUUUACGUAAUCUGCGUUACAAAUCAUUUGUGUAUCUUGGUGUUUCUAACCAUCCACUCAUUUUUUUUAUUAACCAACCCCCUUUUUUUAUCUUAAUACAUGUUUAUCAUAA